UAUUUUACCUGAUCUCAUGGGCUCUUUAGGAGCAGUUAGCUCUGCUCCAACUGGUCAGGCCCAUGCUGCUUCCUAAAAAUCAUCCUUUAAUCAGUCCUAAGCUUCCAAUAUUAUUCAAGGGUUUCCUGUGUUUAUGAGUUGAUUUUUGUCUCCUCACCUAUAGCUCCUGGCAAAUAAGAAUUCAAUCUUCUUGUGUUCCCCAGCCUCAUAUAGUGAGGGCUCCAAAAUGGGAAAAAAAAUCACUAUCCACUAAUGAAAAGAUAAUGGUUAUGUUCUGAUUCACAUCAGCUAAGAGUAAUACUCUUCACUCCUCCUUGCCAGAAGAGAAAGAAAGAACCAAGAUUCAAACUGUCCAGCUGCUUUUCUCAGCUAGAAGUUCUAGCCCAUCCCACUCUGGCAAGCAGCAUUCCAUCAUCUUCCUUCAUGGUGUUUUUAUAAUCAAGUCUUUGCAAUGAAGUAUGUAAUCUUCUCUUCCACAGUGGGCAGGAAUGAAGGAGGGGCGAGGGUGGGAAAGAGGAAGAGAAUUUGGAACUCAAAAUUUUUAAGAAUGAAAAUUUAAAAUUAUUUUUACAUGUAAUUGGAAAAAAAUAAAAUAUUUUAAAAAUAAUUAUAGAAAUUCAAAUUAAAACAACUCUGGGGUUAUCUUAUACUCAUCAAUUUGGCAAAAGGGACAAAAAAGUGAAAUUAAAAAUAUUGGAGGGACAACAGGAAAAUAGGCCAAUCAAUGAAGCAUGAUGGAACUGUAAACUGAUCUUAUCAUUCUGGAAUACAGUUUGAAACUGUUCUUUAAAAAUGACUAAAUUGUGUAUACCCUCAAGCUUGGCAACAUCACUACUAGGCCCAUUACCCAGAGAGCUCAAAGCAAUAAUGAAAUGUCUUAUAUAUUUUCCCUUUUUUUUUAGCAGCUCUCUUUGUUGUGUCAAAAACAGAAAACCAAGGGGAAUAUCCAUUAGUUGGGGAAUGGCUGAACAAAUGAUAGCAUUUGAAUGUAAUAGGAUAUUAUUGUACUCUAAGUCAAGACAAUAAACAUUUAUUAAGCAUCUUCUAUGUGCCCAGAACUGGGCUAACUUGGGAUUACAUACAUAUAUACAAAAGACAAAAAAACAAUCCCUGCUCUCAAGGAACUUGCAAUCUAAUGGGGUAUGUGGGAAUAUGCAAACAAAUGAUACCAAGGGGAAAUCAAGAGAAUCACUUUUAUAUGGAGGGAGGAAUUUUAGCUGGGACAUGAAGGAAACCACAGAAGUCAGAUACAGAGUUUGAAGAGAAAGACAUUUGAAAAGAGGACAACAGGUAAAAAUGCUCAGAAAUUGGAGAUUUAUAGUAAUCAAGGAAUGACCAGGAGGCCAGUGUUCCUGGGUGUCAGAGUAUUGGGAUGCAGGAUAGUGGUUGGUAUAAAGAGACUGGAAAAGUAGGAGGGAAUUUUGAAUCCCAAACAGGAUUUUGUAUGUAAUCCUGAAACUGCUAAGAACUGUGACAAGGAAAUCACUUUAAAAGACUGAUAUAUAUUAAUUUAAGGUCGCCAAGGAAUUCAGCUAUGUAAUUCCUAAAUGAAAACUCAAGUCAGCUGUCAGCCUUUUAUAGAGUUUAAUUACAAACAGGAGGAAGAAAGGAAUUAGAGAGAGAGAGAGAGAGAGAGAGAGAGAGAGAGAGAGAGAAAGGGGAGAGAAGGGAAUAGGGCUUAAAUACCCCCUCUGUUUAGGCUGGACCAAAAGGCCCAAGCCCUUAGAUAGCUGGGGCAAAGAAAGGAGAUCAGUCCCUAUUACUCACGUGACCAAAAUGGAGAAACAGUCUCCGGGGCCUCCACCUCCAGCUUCCUUCAGAGCAAGUUUCUCAGAGCACCUCUCCAACCACUCAGAGCCAAAACUCUCCCACCCCCCUCAGUCCUCAGACCCCUCUAUCUUUAAGGAAAACCAUCCAAGUUCCCUCCCCUCAGUUCUCACAUCUACCAAUCACUGUCCAUCAUUUUCCCUGUGCCAAUGGUGGCUCUAGCUUAACCCAGGACCUCCCAGAGGUCUGUGGCUUUGCACAUGUCUGUUGAAGGUCAUAUUCUCAAAUAAUUAAAUCUUGAUCUUUUGCUACAGCCCUUCCUAAAUCCUGUUACCCUGAGUAGGGUAGAGAUUGGAAUAAUUAAAUUUUGAUCUAUGCUGCAGCCCUUCCUAAAUCCUGUUAGGACUGAGUAGGGUGGAGAUUGAUUCCAAGUAUCUCCAUUGUAUCAAUUCUAAAAUCAAUCAUGACUCAAAGAAAUUCCUGUUCUAUGCUUAAGCAUAGGUCAAAGCCCUUUCCAUUGUUCAGCAAAAGAUUUCUGUCCUAAAGUAAUCUUAAGAAGGGAGGAGGAGGAACCUCCCAUGCCAAUGGGGUUCACAUUCCAAUAGACUAUCAGUAAGAAAAUUUCCAAGUAUGAAAUUUCCCAAUGGUGAAAUUUCCAACAUUUAUAAGUCUAAGAAAUUUUAAGGUUUACAGAACCCAUUGGAGUUUAUUGAAUAGAGGAAUGACAACAUCAUGCCUAUGCUUUUAAGGAAAAUUACUUUGAAAUUUGAAGCAGGGAGACCAAUGAGCAGAACAUUGCAAAAGUUCAGGAAUGAGAUGAUGAGGGCCUCUUCCAGAGUGGCAGCGCUCUGUAAGAGAGGAAGGGGUGGUAUACAAGAGAUGUGAUGAAAAUAAAAUUGGACUUCUAGUUCAUGUGGCCAACAGGAUGGAAGGUAUUUUCCCUAAUUCUCACAACUUCUCAGACCUCUCCAAAACAAAUAGUGAGAUGGCAAUGAAUAGUCUGGAACACUAAGAAGCUAAAGAAAGUAAAAACUCCAUGAACUAACACAUAACUCAUGCUUACUGAGUACCCCUCACUCACUGCAGCAGCAAAUCUGCAACUGCAUCCCUUUCCCUCUCUUUCCAGUACCUAAAGAUUCAAACUCCAAAUUGUAGAUAUAUACUGAGGCUAUGACAGUGUAUUGGCAGCAUUCUUUGCUGUGAUCGAGCUCUGUAGAAGAGUAGAAGAAUAGAGAUAAUGGGGCAGGACAUAUGCCAGGGCUCUUAAUAAAAUUAAACCAUAUAAACCAAUCCCUGCUUCUCCCCAACACCAGGGAUGUCCAAACUCCAAACGGCAGAAUUUUUCCCAUUCUAAGAUAGCACCAAGUGUAACAGUGCUCAGAGGAACAGAGGGGAUGGGAUAGGACACUGGUUAUAUAGACCUGUGUGGUACUUCAAGCCUAAAAUAUAUCCUAGCAUUCAGCUGGGUUCAUUUCUUUCCCCCUGAAGAAUCACUGGGACAGAAAUUUAGGUUAAUGAACUAUGAAUUAUCUGACAUAAAGAGGAGACUGAGAUGCUUUGGGAUCCAGCCCCCAGAGAAACCACCAUCAGAGGGGAAAGAGUCAGAAACUGAACAAUAGGAGAAAAUAAAAGAGAAGGAAAUUACCAAAAACUUAAGGACAAAGUUCAAGGAUCUUUAGUAUAAACAGAUUAACCAACAACAAAUAUAGUAAUAGCAGAAUGAAAUAUGGUCUCUGGAUCUAGUAAAUGAGUUUAGUAAUCUAUUAAUAAAUACUGUAAAAUAAAAGAAAAAUGUUUCAACAACUGACAAUGCAGAGGUCCCUGCAAUGAAUUUUGAGACAUGUGUGGAAACAUACCAUGCACAGAAGAAAUGAGCAUAAUAGAAAAAAAUUGAAUUCACAUGGCAAGUCUCCCCUCCCUCCUAAAAAAACAAAACAAAACAAAACUACAAUCACUUAAAAAAAAACCAAGCAAACAAAAAAAAAAUGAUUGGGAAUAUACAGAGGUGAACAAUCUCCAAAAAAAAAAUCAAAAAAGUAAUAAAAAAUUUCCUCUGAAAAUAUCUUUUAAAAGAACACAUCUCUGAACAAGCAAAAAAUAUUGAUCUUGAAGUCAGGUUGCAUAGAUAGGCCUCCUAGAAGAACAUAGAUACAGAAAAAGUGCCAAAAGAAAGAAUCCAUAGAUGGCACCCCAAGAUGGGCGGGUGGAACAGACUGCAAGACACAAGGUGGUUAAAUUUUAAAAUCCUAAUGAGAAACAAAACAUACUAUAAUAAGCAACUAGGAGAAAAGACCUUAAAAAUAAAAAGAAUAGGAAAUUCAGGAGCAUAAAUUAUUCCACACUGGUCAGAAAAUGGGUGGGAAUGAAAUAAUGUGCUGUGAAGAACACUGAAGAUAAAGAUGCAGUCAAAGUUUACCCUAAUCUGAAAAUCCAGGUUUAACCAUAAUGGGAAAGGUGGAUAGUCAAUAUAAAAAGGCAUAUAAAACAGCCUUAGAAAGAAAAUCAUUCUCAAAAGAGAAUAUUUGCUUCUCAAAUCCCUUAGACAACAGAAACAUAGGGGUGAAUGAAUAUAGUAGCCAAGGACAACAAUAAGUGACAGCAGAGAAGUCAUUAAGAGACUUCUUUCAUGUAUAAAGAAGACAUAUAUACAAAGAGAAAAGAUGAAAAUGAAAAUCAGAGGGAAGUGAUGGUAGGGAGAUGGCCUAGAGUAUUGUGGACUGAAACUUGUGGUACCUCAUCUACAAGUGAAUCAAAUCUUUUUGUGGGAUUAAAUUACAAAUCGGGAGAGUGCAAGGAGGAGGAAGGGGGAGAGAUGUAUGACACUGGUAGGAGGGAUGCCACUAAUUAAUACUCCUCUGGGGGGAGAGGGAGAUUCUUUGAGGGAAAAUGUGUGUGUGUGUGUGUGUGUGUGUGUGUGUGUGUUGGAAGUUGCCUGUAAGGAUUUGGUGUUUGGAGAUAGCUCUUGUUCUGCCUUAGAAGAGAGGAAAUUGAAACUCCUUGGGUCAAUUGGCACCUAGAAGAGUGGGAGGACACAGAUUCAGAGAGAUUUUGUUGAAAUGGGAAAUGGAUAAGGGUAUAUGUCAGCAGUGGACUGCACAAUCAGGCAUAUGGGGGAGGCAUUCUGCUGUGGGGCAAUGUCCUAUCUAUCUUCAGGAAAUGGUAUUUCUCUGGGAGUGAGGCACAAUGAGGAAAAAAAGGCAAAAUCUAUAAAGAGACAGAAACUUUUUUUAGGUACUCAGAAAAGGUAUCUUAGAAGUUUUGACUUCAUAAAUGCAAAGAAUAAAGGGGGAUUAGUAAACAGUGAGUACCUAGAGUAGGCAGAAAGGGAAUGUAGAUAGUGAAAGAGAGAAAUCUUGUCUUAAAUAACUGUAAUAUUAAACUACUAUAAAGCAGUAAUCAUCCAAACAGUCUGGUACUGGCUAAGAGAUAGAAGGGUGAAUCAAUGGAAUAGACUAGGGGUACAUAACUCAGCAAUCUAGCGUUUGAUAAACACAAAGAUUCUGGCUUUUAGGAUAAGAGCUCACUAUUUGACAAAAUCUGCUGGGAAAAUUGGGAAAGAGUAUGACAAAAAUUAGUUUUAGACUAAUAUCUCAUACUCUAUAUACCAAGAUAAAUUUAAAAUUAGUAUAUGACUUAAAACAUAAAGAGUUAUAUUAUAAGUAAAUUAGGUGAAUGUAAAAUAGUACACCUGUCUGUAUAUGGAGAAGGAAAGAAUUUAAGACCAAACAAGAGAAUGUUACAAUAUAUAAAUGAAUAAUUUUGAUUACAUUAAACUUAAAAAGGGUUUGUACAAACAAAAUAAAUGCAACCAAGAUUAGAAGGGAAACAACAAACUGGGGAAAAAUUUUAUAGAUAAUUUCUUUGAUAAAGGUUUAAUUUCUCAAAUUAUUAAAAAAGCUGUCAAAUUUAUGAGAAACCAAGUCAUUCCCCAAUUUACAAAUGGUCAAGGGAUAUGAAUAGGCAGUUUUCAGAUGAAGAAAUCAAAACUAUCAAUAAUCAUAUGAAAAAAAUGUUCUAAAUCCUUCCUGAUUAGAGAAAUGCAAGUCUAAACAACUCUGAGAUACUAACUCAUACCUAGCAGAUUAGCCAAUAUGACAGUAAAAGAAAAUAAUAAAUGUUGGAGGAGAUGUGGCAAAACUGGGACACUAAAGCAUUGCUGGUGGAGUUUUUGAAACGAUCAACCAUUCUGGAAGGCAAUUUGGAAUUGUGUCCCCAAAUACUUUUGAUCCAGCAAUACUACUACUAGCUUUGUACCCCAAAGAGAUUUAAAAAGAAUGGGAAUGGACCUGUUUGUACAAAAAUAUCUAUAGCUGCAUUUUUCUGGUCACAAAAAAUUGGAAAACAAGGAGAUGUCCUUGAUUAGGAAAUGACUGAACAAAUUAUAGUGCAUGAUGGUGGUGGAAUACUAUUGUGCUAUAAGGAAUGAUGAACUGCUUGAUUGCUUUAAGAACUGUAAAAACAUAAUAAUGAACUAAUGCAGAGUGAAAUACGCAGAACCAAGAGAACAUUGUACACAGAAACUGAAACAUUGUGGGACUAUCAAAUGGAAUAGACUUUGCUACUAAAAACAAUGCAAUGAACCGGGACAAUUCUGAAGAAAGAAUGCUAUCCACAUCUAGAGAAAAAACUGUUGGAGUAGAAAUGCAAAAGAAAACAUAUGAUUUAUCACAUGUUUAAAUGGGUAUAUGAUUUGUGGUUUUGUUUUUAAAAGACUACUUAACAAAAAAUGAACAAUAUGAAAAAUGGUUUUGAGUGAUAAUACAUGUAAAACCCAGUGGAAUUGUUUGUCAACACAUUGGAGGUGGAAGGAAAGAAGGGAGACGACAUGAAUCAUGUAACCCUGGGGGGGGGGGAUUAAAUAAAUAAAUGAAUGAAAUAACUGUAGACAAUAUAAAAUACCUUGGAGUCUACUUGCUAAGGCAAACCUGGAAAUUAUAUGAACACAAUUACAAAAUACUUGUCACACAAAGUCAAAUCUAAUCAAUUGGAAUAACAUUAACUAAUCACAAGUAGGUUGAGCCAAUAUAAUGACAAUUUGCCUCUUCAGGGCCAUACCAAUCAAACUACCAAAACAUUAUUUCAUGAGGUAGAAAGAAUUAUAACAAAAUUCAUCUGGAAGAACAAAAGUCAAGAAUGUCAAAGAAAUUAUUGAAAAAUAUUGAAAAUAUUGAAAAAAUAUUAAGAAAGCGGGCCUACCCAUACCUGAUUUCAAAAAAGCAGUAGUCAUCAAAAUAAUCUGGUAAGCCUUCUCCAAUAUUCUCAUACUCACGUGUUCAUUCUUCCUCCAGCUUGAAGUGUGGGAGCCUAGCACCUCAUUCAGCUUUUCUCCAAUUGCUUUCAGCAUGUUUGCCAAGAUUGGGUACCCAGCCCCAGUUUCAGAGAUUUAGUGACUUUGCCAGAUCACUAAUACUACAGAGGGAAAUAAUGUUGUGCUGUUCUUUUCCCCUGAGACUUGACCUUCAUGGGUUCCAGGGAGAUUAUUGAAUUCAGUGACUUGAGAUGAAGAGAAGAAGAAACUCAACUGCCAAGUGAUUGGUGCUUCAGUGGACUCCCACUUUUGUCACCUUGCCUAAAUCAACACAUUUAAGAAGACCCCAUUGGUGUAUGAUUCUCAAUGUACUGAUGAUGGGGGUUUCAAGGCAGGUGAUGGAAUUUCAUUCAACAGUCUCUUCAUCACUGAUGAGGAGAUCCUUGGCCAUCUGGCCACCAACGAUCUUCCUGUGGCUUCUCUGCAGACAAUUCAGACCUUCCAGUUCACAAACUUGCUGAUGUGUGUCCUGCUAUCUGGUAACUUGGAAGGGGCAUAGUCAGGCUAGAUGUUAAGGGAGGAGUAAGGAAUAUUUUUCCAAGCAGUAGUGGGCUGCUCUCUAUUGAGGGGAUAUCUCACCUUAGGAGGUCCAAGGGUACACUUAGCUGCUGUCUGCAGGUCAAGAAAAAAUGUGCUUGAUCCCUUCCCCAUGAUUUCAACUGAAAGGUCCUUCAUAGAAGGAGCCAAGAUACUGUGGGGUUAGCUGGGCAUGUCCUCUCUGCAUGGGCCUGGAAUCAGAGCAUUCCUGAUUUCUUCCUUCCCUCAGAGCAUCAUCUUGGCCCCUGCUAACUUAGCCCUUAAGCAUCUCUUUUUCUCACACCAAUGACCUUGUACUAUCUUAACAAUGUUUGUUUUGUACCAUAGUCAGUGCUAGGGGCUGGAGCCCAACUGAUAUUUUUAUAGUUGUAUUAAACUUGGUCUAAGGGGGAAAGACCCCAAUCUGGUACUGGCUAAGAAAAGGAGUAGUGGAUCAAUGCAAUGGGUUGUAGUAAAUGAGUAUAGUAUUAGAUAAAACCAAAGAUCUAAGCUUUUGGAAGAAAACCUCAAUAUUUGAGAAAAAAUAUUAGGAAAAGUGGAAAAUAAUAUGGCAGAAACUAGAGAUGGCCCAACAUCUCAUACCUUAUACCAUAAAAAAAAAAAGUCAAAAGGGAUGCAUAAUUUAGAGACAAAUGCCAUGGACAAAUUAGAAGAGCAUGGAAUAGUUUUUCUGACAGACCUAUGGAUGGGAGAAGGAUUGAUUAUCAAACAAGUCUUAGAGAACAUUAUAAGAUAUAAAAUGGAUGGUUUUGAUUGCAUUACACUAAAAAGAUUUUGCACAAACAAAACCAAUGAACCAAGAUUAGAAAAUAAACAAAACACUACAGAAAAUUUUUAUAACAAGUUUCUAUAACAAAGAUCUCAUUUAUCAAACAGAACUGAGUCAAAUUUAUAAGAAUACAAAGUAACAUUCCUUAAAUGAUGAGUGAUCAAAGGAUAUGAACAAGCAAUCAAUCCUCAGAUAAAGAAAUUAAGACAAUGAUUACAUGAAAAAAAUUCUCCAACCCCUCUAUAGAUUAGACAAAUACAAAGUGAAAAACAAAAAACACUCCGAAACCCACUAUAGAUUAGAGAAAUGCAAAACAAAAAAAGCAUAUACAACACUAAGGUACCACCUCAUACCUGUAAGACUAGCUGAUAUGACAAAAAAGGGGAGUGAUAAAUAUUGGAGGACAUGUGGGAAUAUUGGGACACUAAUACAUUGCUGAUGGAACUUGCACUGAUCCAAUCAUUCUGGAAAGCAACUGGAAACUAUGCCUAAAGAAUUAUAAAGCUGCAUACCCUUUGACCAUGCAGUACCACUACUAGAUCUAUAUCCCCAAGAAAGAGGAAAAGGACCUACUUGUAAAAAAAAUUAUUUCUAGAAGCUGAUUUUGUGGUAGAAAAGAAUUGGAAACUGAGCAGGUAUUCAUCAAUUGAGGAAUGACUGAACAAGUAAUGGUAUAUGAUUAUAUAAUGGAAAAUGAUGCAAACUAAAGUGAACUAACUAGGAGAAUAUUGUUCACAAUAACAGCAAGAUUGUGUGAUCAUCAACAAUGCAAGAAUCCCAAGAGAAAUCUAAGGAUAAGAAAUUCUAUCUAUCUCCAUAGAAGGAACUGAUAGAGUCUGAAUGUAGAUUGAAGCAUACCGUUUUUCAAUUUUUUCCUUUAAGAGUUUUUUUCUUGUAUGUGUGACAUGUAUUUUCUUUUAUAAUAUGAUGAAUAUCAAUAUAGCAUAUGUAUAACCUAUAUCAGAUUGCUUACUGUCUUGGGGAGGAGGGAAGGAGGAGGGAGGGAGAGAAUUUGGAUUACAAAAUGUCAGAAAACAAAUGAUAAAAUUUGUUUCUAUGUGAAAUGGGAAAAAAUACACUAAAAUGUUGAUUGGAAAAAAUAAUAUAUCUAUAGAUGGUAAAAUGAUAAGAACUUUUAAAGUCUCUUUCAGUUUGGGAUAAAACUAACAGGAAGAUAAGCAAAAGGGAAAAUGCACAAAUGAGCAAAUUGCUGGAAAGACUAGAGCUAAAAAAUGUAUAGUAUCUUCUAAAUGGGAUUGAAGAAAAGACUAUACAUAUAUUUUAUUCCAUGUGGGACUUUUUAUAAAAAUUAACCAUGUCUUAGGGCACAGAGAAAGGCACAAAAUAUAUAUUUUACAGAUUAUACUGCAAUAAAAAGUGAUGGGUUUAGGGAUCACAAACAAAAGACAACAACCCAGAUGGAGACAAAGAUGAAAUCCUAAGCAAUUAGUGGAUUAAAGAAUAUAUCAUAGAAACAAUUAUGUGAAAGAAAAUAAUUAUGAAACAACAUAUGGAAAUAUCUCAUUCAGCUAAAUUGAUCCUUGGGAGGAAAGUUAUAUCCCUCUAAACAUACAUCAACAAAACAGAAAAGAAAUGAAUACUGAAUAUGAGUUAAAAAAUAGAAAUCCAACAAAUCUAAAAUAAGCAUAAAAGAGGAGCCAUUAAAAACAGAGGAAAAAUAAACUGGAAAUCUAAAAAAAACCCAUAGAAAUAAAAAAAAAACAAAGAUGAAUUCUUUGAAAAGACUAAUGAGAUGGGAAGAUAGAGGAAUAAGAUGGGAAAUUACCCAGCUUUCCCAAAUUCCCCUCCAAAUAACUUAAAAUAACAUAUUAAAUUAACUAAUUAAAUUGAAUUUUAUUAAAACCCUUACUUUCCAUAUUAGAAUCAAUACUGUGUUUUGGUUACAAGGCAGAAGGGCGGUAAGGUCUAAGCAAUGGGGAGCAAAGUGACUUGCUCAGGGUCACACAGCUAGAAAGUGUUUGAGAUCAGAUUCGAAUCUAGGCCCUCCCAUUUCUAGGCCUGGCUCUCUCACCCAGCUGCCCCCUUAAAUUGAAUUUUAGAGUAGCAGAAAUAAAUCACAGUAAAGCAGUCAUCUAACCUAAGACAACUUGUGAGGACACUAGAAAACAUCUGACCUAAUGGGAUGGUGGUUGGCCCACAGCAACGUGCAGAUACCAUAGCAUCAACAAACAGAAAGCUUGGGGUCAGCUGUGUCAGUGGCAAUGCCAGAGAACACUUUUGCCCCACAGUGUGUAAGUGUGUACUUGUGUGGAAAAGGGGAGUGGUAUGGGGGGGGGUCAUUCAGCUGAUUUGGGAAAAUCAUUAGGGUCCUCUGCUGGCAUUUUACUCGCAGCCAAAGGACAUUGACUACGCUUGGUCCCAGAAUGUAGCUAAAGGCAAGGACAGCAUCCUUUGUUGAGUAUAGUCACAGAGGGGCAGGGAUCCUGCUCAUGGUUCUUGGAUGGAGAGGACUAAUUAUAGUUACUUGCAAGAGAGCAGAGUCCCUGAUCUUGGUUCUAGGGCAGAAGGGAGAACUGAUGUUUGUGGCUGUGGGAGAAUGAGGGCCAGUUCACAGUGGUGGGGAGAUGGGUAGCUCUGGUCAUGGCUUAAUGGUGGAGAGGUAUACCCACUCAUAAACCAAGAAAUAAGCCAAAAGAACAGUGACCAUAUAUGGCCUUGGAUCAUAGCAUUUUGGAAGAACCAAAAAGUCAAAGAUACAAAGAUAGAGCUCUGAAAACAAUACAAAAAAACUGAAUCCUGAGACAUUAUCCUCCAUGCCCUGAGAGAGGAAUGUGACCUGAACAUAAAGUUAAUAGCCAAGAAAUAGGCUAUUAAACAGAGACAAACCAUAAACAACAGAAAAAGAACAUGACUAAAGGUAAUCACUUUGGUGAUGAAGAUCAAGUUUCUAACUCAGAAGAAUGCAAGUGAAAAUAGUUACUUGUAAAGCUUUAAAAAAUUGUAAAAUGGUCUUGAGCCCAAAAAGAGUUUUUGGAAGUUCUAAAAAUAAAAAAGACUUCAAAAAUCAGUAAGAGAGUAGCAACUACAUGGCUCAGUGGUUUGAGAGCCAAGUCUAGAGGGACUGGAGGUCCUUGGCUCAAAUUUGGCCUAGCUCUAUGACCUUGGGCAAGUCACUUAAUCCCUGUUGCCUAUUCUUUUACUGCUUUUCUGUCUUGGAUCCAAUACACAGUAUUGAUUCUAAAAUGAAAGGUAAGAAUUUUUAAAAAAUCAAAGAGAGUUGGUGAAAAUUUUAGAAAAAAAAUCAAUAAGGCAAAAAUAUUAUGAAAACAAACAACUAAUUGAGGGGGGACAAGAACCAAAAACUUACUACAAAGAAAAUAACUCCUUAAAAAUUAAACUGAGUAAGGGGAAGCUAAUAACUUCAUAAGACAGCAACAAAUAAAACAAAAGAAGGGGUAAAUAGAAGAAAACACAAAAUACUGCAUUGUAAAAACAACUGGCCUAAAAAAAAAUAUAGAUUGAGGAGAUAUAAGAAUUGUUGGACUACCUGAAAGUCAUGAUUAAAAGAGUCUAAGUAUUAGGCUUCAAGAAAUUAUUAAGGAACAGUUUUAGAAUUAGAGGGUAAUAGAAAAAAAAAUCCCACACUUAUUCUCUGAAAGAAUUCCUAAAAUGAAAACUCAAUGGAACAUAAUAACUAAGUUUCAAUGUUCUCAGUUCAAGGAAAAUAAUAUUAUAAGUAACUAGAAAGAAAUAAUCCACACAGUGUAAUGUAUAACAAAAGGCUGAGCAUCUUCUACAGUAAAGGGCUGAAUAGUAUGGAAUAUAACAUUCUGAAGAGCAAAGAAGCUGAUUUGGCAACCAAGAAUAACCUACCAAGUAGGGCUGAGUGUAAGCCUGCAAGGAAAAAAAUGUAAAGAAACUAAAUGAUUUCCAGAAAUUCUUGAAGAAAAAUUCAGAACUGAAUGAUUUGAACUUAAAUGUCCCACAAACCCCACAAGGCAGCUGUACACAAUGAAAAGAACAUAGAAUCAAUUUAAUUAGAAUGUGGCUAUCUUUUAUAUAAGACAUAUGAGUUGCUUAGAUUCACAAUUAUGAGAAAACUCCACACAUCAAUCUUUAGAUAUAAAAUACUAGGUUCUUGGUUGGGAGUCUCUGAAUAGCAAGUUCAGGUGGUUCAGUUUCACACAGGACAGGAUUCAAACAAUGCUCAAUUUCUAUAUUCAUUGCCUUUCUUAGAGUCUGUGCAGAAAAGAGCAAAACUUCACCUAAAGUUGCCCCAGGGUAUUUAACAUAUCAUUAGCAUCCCAUUUACACUGCAAUUUGCUCCACUCAAGUGGCCAGAGUAAACUAUGAGUAAAGCCACACAGACCAAAGUGAACCAUGGGAAAAGUGACAUCAGUCCCCUGUAGACACAGGGCAACAACUGUCCAAACUGUAAUCUAGAUAAAAAGCACUCCUGAAAACUCUUACUUACUCUUUUACUCUUCCUCUAUCUUUAUUUACCACACCUCCUUACCUGGCAUUACUUAUUAUAUUAGCUACUCUGUUACUAUAUUCUCUUAAAAUAAAGCUUAUUUCCUCAGAAUUGGGUCAGUUUGAAUCAAUACUUUGGGUGAGACCCAAUUAGAAUAAAACCCAUCACAACAGAAAAUUUGACUUUCAAAUAUAACAAUAAGGAUUUAAUGAAUAAGGAUUUAAUUUAAUAAAGGAAUUAUUUAUCAUCUUAUAUGGGAAAAUAUUUGUAAUGAAAGAAUAUUAUUAAAAAAUAAAUAGUAUACAAAGAUAAAGCACUUUGGGUUGAGCUAAUUAUAAUGGAAUGAUACUUAAAAAUAAAAUUGGGUAGAGAGAGGUAAAAUGGUAUAGAUCAUCUCACACAAAAGAGGUGUGAAUGGUACACCUUUUGCAGGUUUGGGGGUGAAGGAAUAGCAGCAAAGGACCUUAUUCUCACUGGAAUUGGGUUAAAAAGAGAAUAACAUAUGUCUAGAUAGGUAGAAAAAUCUUCUUAACUUAGAGAAUUAAACUCUUAGAAUGUAUGAGGAUCAGCAAAUCAGUGCUUAGAGGCAUAUUAUAUGACUUCUAAGGAGGAAUGGGGUAAAAAGAGAAGGAUAAACAUUGAAGGGAAAUAAAUAACUAUAAUUAUAACUUUGAAUGUGAAUGGGAUGAAUUAAAAAUGGAAAUAGGUAGCAGAAUGGCUCAAAGUCCAGGAAACAUUUAAAAAUGAGAGAUUUGCACAGAGUAAAAAUAAAUAAAGGGAUGGAGCAGAAUUUAUUGUGUAUAUAAUUGAUGGAAGUAGAAACCAUAAUCUCAAGGAAAGUUAAAACUAAAAUUUAAUUAAAAGAGAUAAGCAGGAAAAUUACAUUAUGUUAAAAAGUACCACAGAUAAUGAACUAAUAAUAUUAAAAUGUAAUCAUCAAAUGCUAUAGCAUCCAAAUAUAUAAAAGAAAAGGCAAAUGAAUUAUAGAUGGAAAUAGAAAAACUAUAAUAGUGGGGGACUUUGACUUUCUACUCUCAGAACUAGAUAAAUCCAACCAAAAAAUAGAUAAUUGGAGAAAUUUGAAUGGGAAUUGAAAGGAAUAUAUCUUUUCCUCAGCAAUACCAUGGCACCUUUGCAAAAACUGACCAUAUAUUAGGUCAUAAAUUGUAGUUGUAGUCAAAUGCAGAAAAUUUGAAAUAUUGUACCCUUUUCAUAUAAUAAUGCAACAAAAGUUAACUUUUAAUAAAGGAACAUGGAAACAAAGAUUAAAAAUUAAUUGAAAACUUAGUAACCCAAUCUUAAAGAAUGAGUGCAUCAAAGAUACAUUAUAGAAAUAAAUUUAUUUAAGAAAUGAUGAGACAAAAUACCAAAACUUAUGGGAUGCAGCAGAAGUGAUAAUCAAAGGAAAAUUUAUAUCUUUAGAUUCUUAUAUUUAUAAAAUAAAGAGCAUAGAUUUGGGCAUACAAUUAUUUGGGUAUACAUUUCUCCCACAUUUCCUUCUAAACCACUUUAAAAUGAGGUCUCUUACCAAAUUUUGGAGCAAUGAAGCAGUUUUGCAUCCCAGAUAAGCCCAGGAAAAUGGCAGGAAAAGUUUCAUUUCCCUGGAAGGGAGGGGAACUCAGUCCUAAGUGGGAAACCUUAGGAAAGGAAGAUAAUAUCCCAUGAGGAAGGGUCAGACCUUGCCCCCAUAGCAGAGAACCUCAACCCAGAGCAAACCAGAGUGGAGGUUAGCAGGGAGGCCUCAGCUGGACAUUAGCCUACAGUGGGCUUGUCCCCAGUGAAGGUCACAAGCAAAACUCUCCAUGAGGCAUGCCAAUAGUGAAGCCCCAUCCCCAGGGCAAGUUAACAGUGAGGUCCUUCAUUGUACAAACCAGUAACUGAGGCCCCCCCACUGAAUAAGCCAUUAUUGAGGACAUUCCAUUGGUACAAGCCAGCAGCAAGGCUUCACUUCCAAGGCAAGUCAAAAGUGAGACCUUCUCCCACAGCAACAAUUAUUACCUCUAGGGCAAGCCAGCAGUGAGGUCUGACCAUUAGGAUUGGCCAGCAGUGAGGCAUUGACCCCAGGGCAAGCUAGCAAUGCUGUCCCUCAUUGUGCAACCCAGCAGCUGAGGACCCUCAACUGAACAAGCAAGCACCAAGGUCCCCUAUCAUGUAAUCAAUCAAUAAGGACCCCCUUCUGAUGCAAGUCUACAGUGAAGUCCCCCCGCCCACCAGGUCAAGUCAGCAGCUAGACUCUGAAACUCAUAUAAGCUAGAAACAAAGCCCCAAAACCCACAAGAAGAAGCCUGGGGCAAUGACUUCUCCAAUUCAGGAACAUAGUCCAAUUUUAAUAUAUAGUGAAAAGUUAUUAAUAAACUAAAAAAUAAAUUAGCAAAAACAAAAACAAAAGAGAGCUGAAUAAUAGAAAGUUAUUAAUGAUUACAGGAAGAAUCAGGGCACAAACCUAAAAAAGAACAAUGUCAAAAUGUCUAUAAGUGAAACCUUGUGAAAAAAAAUGUGAACUGGAGACAGGCCCAAAAAGACCUUUUGGAAGAAGUAAAAAAGUACUUUAAAUAUCCAAUAAGAGAGAAGAAUAAUUGGGGGAAAAAGAGUAAUGCAAAAAAAAAAUCAUGAAAUAAGAGUUAACAGCUUGGUAAAGGAAGUAUAAAAAAUGUAAAGUACAUACAAAGAUUUGCCAAAGACAAAUUAAGUCCUUAAAAAGUAGAAUUGGACAAAUAGAAAAGGAGAUUCACCAAAGAAAAAAUAAGUAGAACUGAUCAAAUGGAAAAGGAGGUACAGAAACUUAGUGAUAAAUAAAUAAAUGCCUUCCUCCCCUAAUUUUUAAGAAAUGUAAGUGGCUUGGUAGAUUAAGAGUCAGGGCUAGAGACGGGAGGACUUGGGUUCAAAUCUGAUCAUACAUGUUUUCUACCUGUGUGAACUCAGUCAAGUCACUUGACUCCACUUGCAUUGCUCAAGAAACAGCAAAAAAAAAAAUUAAAAGAAUGGAAAAAUAGAAGAAAAUGUGAAAUUUCUCAUUGGAAAAACAAUUGACCUGGUAAAAAAAAGAUUAUGAAGAGAUAAUUUAGGUAUUAUUGGAUUACCUGAAAAUAAAAGAAAAGACCGUGGACAUUAUGUUUCAAGAAAUUAUUAUGGAAAAUUGCCCUGGUAUCCUAGGAUCAGGGAGUAAAAUAGAAAUGGAAAGUUUUCUUUUAUCCCAGGAAUGAUACAGAAAAAUUCCAGAACUCCCAGGUUAAGGAGAAAAUAUAAGCAGUCAAAAAGAAUUCACAUUUCAUUGAGUCAUAGUCAGGAUAAUACAAGAUUUGGCUUCUUAUACUUUAAAGGACUGGAGAGCUUGGAAUAUGAUAUUCCAGAGGGCAAAGUUGAUAUGAUUAUAACCUCAGCAAAAAUAUGUAUAAUUCUUCAUGUGGGAAAAAAUGGAUAUUUAAUGAAAUUGGGAACUUUCAAAAAGACCAGAACUACAUAGGAAACUUGACAUUCAAACAGAAGAUUUAAGAGAAACACAAAAAAGUAAACAGGAAAGAGAAAUCAUAAGGCAUGAUAAGGCUGAACUGUUUACAUUCUUACAUAGACAAUAUUUGAAAUUUAGGAACAUUAUCAAUAUUAGGGCAAAUAGAAGGAAUAUACAGAGAGAGAGAGAGAGAGAGGAUGUAAGUGUGAAUUAACUACAGUGGGAUGUUACCCCCCAAAAAGAAAAUUGAGAUGAGAAAGAUAGACUGCAUUGGGAGAAGAGGUAAGGGAGACAUACAGUGGGGUGAAUUAUCUGAAAUAAAAGAUGCCUGAAAGAGCUACUAUAAUUGAGGGGAAGGAUAAUCUUCAUAAGAUUUGACUCAAAAAGGGAAUAACAUACACAAUUGAAUAUAAAAAUCUGUCUUCUCCUAUAGGGAAAGGAAAAAAAGGGAUGCAGAAAAGAGGAAGGAAGAGACUAAUAGAAGGGAAGACAGGUUUGAGGAGAUGGUGCUCAAAAGUAAACCACUGUUGUGGUAAGAAUUUAUUUAGCUUUCAUUAAGAAUAGAUUUUAAGAUCAGAGAAAGAGUUUGUCCACUUUUAUGCUGUCCCCUUUAAGAAAGGAGACAGAAAAAGUUUUCUGUGGGCUCUAUAAGAAGUUAGCAUAAGUGAACAUCAGGGAAUUCUGGGAGUGUCUCUUGAACUUCCUCUGGAGAGCAGGUGACUGAAUAUUUCCUCUGAGAGAAAACAGAAGAUUUGGUUACUUUAGAUACUUUUAUUUGAGAGUUGAGAAUAUACUGAACAGAGAAAAAGAGUUUACUGAGAGUUUUUCCUCUAUGAGCUAUAGGGAUUGCUGAAGAGCAGUUUUGUGUCAACUAGGACAGAUGAUUUGAGUGGAGCUGAGACAAGAAGACUAACUAUGAGAAGUCUUGCUUAUUUGCCUGAUUUCUGAAGAGAGAGAAAGAAACUGAUUCAAUUUUUCUAUCAGUAUUAUAUGUCGUUUUAGUUUAGGAUUAGAUAGAGGAAUUAUCUUUAGCCAGUAAGUGUAGUUUAAGUCAGAUCUGCUCUGCAGAUAUAAAGAAGCUCUGUGAAGAGGAGUUUGGGGUGUUGGGUUAUUUAGAAAUCUUAGUGAUAGAUUUAAGAGAUCCUGUCUUAUUCCUUAAUCCUGUCUCCUAUCCCUGUCUCUCCUCAUAGAGAUGAAUAAAUUUAGAUUUGAUCAAACUGCAGCAAGCCUUUAAUCCACCAUCUGUAUAACAGAUGAGUAUAUCAGAAUUAUCUGUAUCAAUAGCAGUUUCAGGUUUGACCAUGACAGUUGGCUUCCUGUCAUCCAUCCACCACCCAUGAUAGGUUAAUUCUUGACAACCUUAGUAAUUUAUAACAGUUUGGUCCAUACAAGAUUAAUUUACUUAUUAUGCCACUUACUAGGAAGAACAGAGUGAAAAGUGAAAGAUAAUAAUGAAAAAUGUAAAUGUAAGAAGGGAAAUACAUAGUUAAUUAUCAUAACUGUAAAUAUGAAUGGGAUGAAGUUACCCAUAAAAGAGAAACACAAGAAGCACAUCUGAAGCAGGAAGACAUACACAAAGUAAAGGGCUAGAGUAGAAUGCAUAAUGCUUCAGCUGAAAUUAAAAAAAAAAAACAACAGUAGUAAUAAUUAUCUUAGACAAAGCUAAGGCAAAAAAUAGAUCUAAUUAAAUGAGGAAGGAAAUAAUAUUUUGCUAAAAGUAUUAUUUCCUUCCUCAUUUAAUUAGAUGAAGCAAUAUUUUAAACAUAUAUAUCCACCAAAUGUAGUAUCUACAUUUUUAAAGAAAAAUGACUUAAAAGCAGGAAAUAAUAAAACUAUAAUAGUUGAGGAUCUCAACUUUUCCCCCCUUAGGACUAAAUAAAUCUAACCAAAAACAAACAAACAAGAAAUUAAGGAAGUGAAUAGAAUUUGAGAAGAAAUUAGAUAUUAUAGCCUUCUGGAGAAAACUGAAGGGAACAGAAAAGAAUAUGCAUUUUUGUCAGGAGUACAUUGUACCUACACGAAAAAUGGCCAUUAGGGCAUAAAACCCUCAAAAACAAAGAAAAACAAAUAUUAAGUACAUAAUUUUCAGAUCAUAUUGCAAUUGAAUUUGCAUUCUAUUCAGUCUAUGGAAAGAAAAAAGUGGAAAUUAAUAAAUCUAAUUCUAAAAGAAUAAGUAUAUCAAGAACAAAUUAUAGAAACAAUUUCUUUGAAGAUAAUGGCAAUAAUGAGACAAUACAUCAAAAUUUAUGGGAUACCACAAAAGUAAUACUUAGGGGGAAAUUUAUAUCUCUAAAUACAAUAAACUAGAGAAAGGACAGUUCCAUGUAUUUGGCAUACAACUAGAGAAACUAGAAAAAGAAUAAUUUAGCACCUCCUAAUGAAGAUGAGAUCAAAAAAAGUAAGAAAACCAUUGAACUAACAAAAUAAACUUUGGUUAAUUUUUUUUUAAAAAAAGAGGAAAGAAGAAAAUCAAAUUACCAAUAACAAAAAGGAAAAAGAUGAAUUUACCACCAAUGAAGAAGAAAUUAAAUCAAUUAUUAGGAGUUAUUUUACCUAAUUACAUGAAUUACAUGCAAGGAAAUGUGAUAAAUUAAGAGAAAUGGAUGAAUAUUUAAAUAUAUAUAUAUAUAUAUAUGCAUAUUCUCCCGAUUAACAGAAGAGGAAAUAGAAUAUUUAAACAAUUCCAUUUUAGAAAAAGAAAUUGAACAAGCCAUCAAUUAACUCUCUAAGAAAAACCCCUCAAGGCCAGAAGGAUUCACAAGUGAAUUCUACCAAACAUAAAAAGAAAAAUCCCAAUACUAUAUAAAUUAUUUGGAAAAAUAGGUAAAGAAGGAAUCCUACCAAAUUCCUUUUAUGACACAAUAUGGUGCUGAUCGCUGUCAGAAAGAGCAAAAACAAGAGGAAGAAAAAUAUAGACAAAUCUUUCUAAUGAAUAUUGAAACAUUUUUUUAAAUUUUGUCAUGCAAAACACAAUUCCAUAUUGGUCAUUGUUGUAAGAACAAACUCAUAGAUAACCAAAACCCCAAAAUAAAACCAUAAAUACACUGAUGUGAAAGAUGACUCCCAACAGUUCUUUCUCUGGAGGUGGAUAGCAUUCCCUGUCAUAAGUCUUUUAGGAUUUUCCCAUAUUAUUGCAUUGUUGAGAGUAGCCAAGUUUUUAGAUAAUCAUCAUCCAAUAUUACUAUUACUAUGUACAAGGUUCUCCCAGUUCUGCUUAUUUCAUUUGAUGCAAAAAAUUUAAAUAAAAUACUAGCAAGGAGAUCAUAGCAAUAUAUCAGAAGGAUCAGGCAUUAUGGUUAGGUAGAUUUUAUAUCAUGAAUGCAAAGGUUAGGAAAACACUCAGCCUAAAUGAUCAUGUAGAUAAAUUCAUCAGAAACCAUAUAAUUAUCUCAAUAGAUGCAGAAAAAGCUUUUGACAAAGAAUAGCAUCCAUUCCUGUUAAAAACACUAGAAAGCCUAAGAAUAAACAGAGCUUUCCUUAAAUGAUAAAAUGCAUCUAUCUAAAACUAUCAGCAUAUUCAGGACAAGUUAGAAGCCUUCCCAGUAGGAUCAGGGAUGAAGCAAGGAUGUGUGUGAAUUUAAUGUAAAUUGUAUCCCCUUAUUCCCUUUGAAAAUCCAUUUUGAUCCAUAUUGGCCCUAUCCUUUGAUAUGCAUAGUGUGGGAGGAAGCCAGAGGUCUCUAAGCUCCUUAGUUCCCAGAAGAGACUGAGCCCAAGUACUGAGUAACUCCUAGCAUCAAGAAGACUGGACUCUGGUCCUGACUGAGGUCAAGUCUGUCUCCAGAGAGAUGCAGAGGGAGUGACAUCAAUGGCUUUAUAAGAAAGGUGUCAGAGGAAGUUCUUGGUCUUUUUGGAGCUGGAGACUCUUGCUAGGGUUUUGGUUUUGACUGACAGAGGAAGCAUGGCAAACAGAUUAAUUAGGCUUGGCAAGGUGAUCAUGUGAUUUUCUCUAUUUCUCUCUCUUAUUAAUAUAAAUUAGUGUACAAUCUCUGCAGAAUUUUAAUCAUAACAAAUAUCCAUUAUCACUGCUAUAAUUUCAAUAUUAGAAAUGCUAGCUAUAGUAAUAAGAGAAGAAAAAAUUGAAAAAAUUAGAAAGAGUAAUGAAAAAGCAAAAUUAUUACUUUGCAGAUAAUAUGAUGUAUACUUUAAAAAUCAACUAAAAUUAGUUGAAAUAAUUAAGAACUUUAGCAAAAUUUCAGGAUAUAGAAUAAAUCCACAUAAAUCAUCAGCAUGUCUAGAUAUUACCAACAAAGCUCAGCAUCAAAAAUAAAGAAAUCCCAAUUAAACUAGUGAUAAUAUAAAAUACUUGGGAGUCUACCACUCAAGACACAUCCAUGAACUUUAUGAACUUAAUUGUAAAAUACAAAGUCAGAUCUAAAAAACUGGGAAAAUGAUCUUUGCUUUGAGUAGGUCAAGCCAAUAUAAUAAAAAUAACAAUUUCACCUAAACUAAUCUACUUAUUCAGUACUAUAAUAAUUGAACUGGCCAAAAAUUAUUUCAUAGAGCUAGAAAAAAAAAUUCAUCUGGAAAACAAAAGGUCAAGAACAUCAAGGGAAUGAAUGAAAACAAUAAGAAGGAAGUAUAUUACAAAGUAGUAUUCAUCAAAACAAUCUGGUACUGGCUUAGAAAUUGAAGGGUGGAUCAGUAGAAUAGAUGAGGUACACAAAAUCUGGUAAUAAAUGACCAUAGUAUUUUAAUAUUUAUAAAUCAAAAGAUCAAGAAUUCAAUAUUUGACAAAAACUGUUAGGAAAUUUAGAAAAUGGUAUAUCAGACCCUGGGAAUAUACCAAUAUCUCAAGAUAAGGUUAACAUGGACACAUGAUCUGAACAUGAAGAGUGAAACCUUAAGCAAAUUGGGGGAAUAUGGGAUAGUUUACCAAUCAGAUCUAUGGAUAAGGAAAGAAUUUAGAACCAGACAAGAGACAGGGCAUAAUACAUUUAAAAGGUUUUGUACAAACUGAACAAAUGCAACCAAAAUUAGAAGGAAAGCAGAAAGCUGGGAAAUUUUUCAUAGCAAGAAUCUUUGAUAAAGCUCUAAUCUCUGAAAUACAUGGAGAAAUAAGUCAAAUUUAUAAAAAUAAAAGUCAUUCUCCAAUUCAUAAAUGGCCAAAGGAUAUAAAUAGGUUAUUUUCACAUGAAGAAAUCUAAGUCAUUUAUAGUGAUAAGAAAAAAUGCUCUCAUUCUUGAUGAGAGAAAUACACAUGUGAGAAUUUAACACUAACUUGUACCCCUUUUCUUUCUGUGGAUUUUAUUUAUUUUAUAUUUUUAAAACCCUUACCUUCUGUCUUAGAGUCAAUACUGUGUAUUGGCUCCAAGGCAGAAGAGUGCUAAGGGCUAGGCAAUGGGGGUUAAGUGACUUGCCCAGGGUCACACAGCUAGGAAGUGCCUUGAGUCCAGAUAUGAACCUAAGACCUUCCAUCUCCAGGUCUGACUCUCAAUCCACUGAGCAACCAAGAUGCCCCCCUUUCUCUGGAUUUUAAAGAGAAAGCUUUAUAUUUAGUUUGAGACUAUAACUAUUCUCUAAAUUCCCUCUUUCAUUGAAUUAAGAACAAAGGUUGAUGCUUUAUCUGUCAAUAAAUUACUUAAGGGGGGCAUGGGCAUUCUAGGGGGGCACCAGAAGCCCCAGGGCUCCCCCUGUGCAUGUUAGGAAGAUGUUUGUCUCUUGUCCCACAUGAUUCCCAACACCCAGAAGACUAGCCUCCUAUUUGGGCCUGAGAUUGGUCUGCCAAAUCAGAAGGACUUGGAAAAGGGAUGGCACCAGGAGCUUAAAAUUGGACUGGGGAAAAGAAGUAGUUCUCUUUUCCCUUGGAAUCAUGCAGAGAGAAGGUGGUGAGGAAAGCACUGGCAUGCCCAUAGUGUGUGAACCCUAUAGCUGGCUAGGAGACUCCCACCAUGUACCUAUCCAGUGGGGCUCAGGGUUGCCUACGGGAGCACUCCAGCACACCUGAGGUCUGGCUGAGAGGCUAGAGCAGGUGGCUGAGGGAGGAGGCUUGUAAAGAGAACAGACAUGUAUGAGUUGUGCCUUUCUUUCUCUGACCAACUUUUAGAAUUAUUUAAUGCACAUAUAAAUUAAAAUACAGUCUCUAGAGAAUUUUAAUGUUAAUAAACUUAAACAACUGAGGCACUGCCAUACAGCUGUUUAUAUUGGCUAAUAUGACAGAAAAGGAGAAUGAUAAAUAUUGGGAGGGGAUGUAGGAAAACUGGGACAUUAAGAUCCUGUUAGUGGAGUUGAGAUCUGAUCCAUCCAUUCUGGAGAGCAAUUUGGAACUAUGCUCAGAGUACUCUAAAAUGGUGCAUAUCCUUUGAUCCAUUAAUACUAGUACUAGGUCUGUAGCCCAAAGAGAUUUUAAAUAUAGGAAAAGGACCUAUUUGUACAAAAAUACUUGUUAUAGUAUUUUUUGUGGUAGCCAAAACUGAGGAGACAUCAGUCAAUUGAGAAUGGCUGAACACAUUAUGGUAUAUGAUUAUGUGCUUUAUUAUUAUUUAUUAUAUAAUACUACUCUGCUUUAAGAAAUGACAAGCAGGGUGAUUUAGGAAAAAUAGGGGGAAAGAUUUACAAAGUGAAGUGAGCAGAGUCAGAAGAACACUGUACAUGGUGUACUAGUGGGGGAUCAGGAAUCAAAGUUUGACAGAUAACUGAGAGGGAGGUAACAGAUAAAAAAGAACACCACUUCUCUCCCAGGCAGAGCUAUCCCAGAGAAAAUGGAGUUGGAUCUCUGACUAGAGCUGGUGGCUAAGAGAAAAUCCCCUUCAAUCUCUGUUAUUAUUCUCUUCUUUAGCUGAUUGUUAUCUAUGAUCACCUUGAGUACAUUGAAGAAGAUGUCUGGCUCCUCAGUAAGUUAAAAGAUCUAUUUAUUAGAGGAUGGGUUUGGUAUAGUAGGUUAAGAAAGAGGGAACAGGAGUCCCUAAUCUAUUUUUCCACCUAAAGUUUCUUCAGGGGGUGAAGCUCAAGUCUAGGGACUAAGUCACAGAAGAUCUUUGUAUAUUCAAGAUGAUGUAUUUUCUUGAGACAGAUAAAUAACUUUUGUAGGAAAAAUUCUGAUGGAUAGGCUAUUUCUUUCCCCAAAGGGAAAAAGUCUCUAUCCAACAACUAUAAAGACAGAUGGUUAGUCUGGAUCUCUUCAAUUCAAUGACGGAUUUGUAGCCAGAUAAGCUCAGCAAGAAUUGCCCUUUUCCUCCUCAGUUCAAAAGGGAAAAAGACUGUAUUCCCAACUGCUCAUGUGCUUUUCUUAGCUGGAGAUUCCAUUCCCAUCCCCCAUUGGCAGCCAAAGUUCUAUCUCCUUUUUGCAUGCGAUUACACUGCAAAAUCCACUCCUUGUAUUUCCUUCAGUAUCUCUCUCUCUUCCACAAUUCCUCCCUUUACUGUUUUACACAUUCAGCCUGACAACUAUACCAAAGUACAGUACUUAUGUUAUUAUUAUUCUAUCUAUCAUGUAAAAUAUACUAUUCUAAAUAUUCCUCCUUCCCCCAAAAUAACAAACCUUAAUCUAUUUUAAAUAUCCUAAUCUACCUAAAUUCUAUGUCUAUGAUCAGGAUUAUAGGAAAGUGGAAGGUAGGAAAGUAUUUCAAAUACAUGGGUAUUUUUCAUCAUGGCAACAGUUUCAACAAUGUAACACUUUCUGUAGCAAUCUAAAUUUUCCUAUCUCAAUGAACAAUUACAAAUGUAUAACUAUGAACUGUUAUGAACUCUACUAACUUCUACAUUAGUAAUAACUUUUUUAAAAAAUUAUAUCACAAGAUAUAUUAUUCUGUCCUUAGUUUAUCUCUAUUUUCAAACUUCCCUGAUCUAAUCUCUCCCUAUAUGUUAAUAAUUAAUAUAUUCCUGCAGAAGCUCAAGUGUAAAUUAUGAAGUAGGUUGAUCUUAUGUACAAUGCAAUCCAAAACAUAUCAGUGUGUUUAAAUGUUUAUGUACUAAGUAUGUAGUGUUGAAUGCAUACUUACUGUCCUUCAGGAAAUCCUCUUCAUAUGUUGCCUGAGGAUCUAUCAUUCAUUCUUCCUGUUUUAAUUCUAAUGUGUAUGUGAAUGCAAUGCCCUAUAUUCUCUUUGAUUUUAAAGUUCUUUUGUUGUCCUUGGUGUUGAUUGAAGUAAUUCCAUUGGUCCAGUGAAUUUCCUCUGUGCAGCAUACAUAUUUGCCUGUCAUUUCACUUUGAUUGAAGUCCUGUGUUCUCUGAUGAUUGUAAUAAAUAGGAUCAUGCAUGUGUGUAAAAUUAAUUUUUUCUGCACAUGUGCAUGUAAGUAGGAAUGAUUCUUCAUGCGUGUAUGUAACCUAAUAUGUAAAUCUUCAUGUAUGUGUGUAUGCAAUGUAGUUUUUGUAAUUUGUUGUAAAUAUCAUAAUCAUAUGGUUUUGAGAUUUGGAUUCAAGAUUUGGAGAGAUGAUUUUGAAAUUUGGAGAUAGAAACUUUUUCUUUCGCUGUUGAUUUAAUCUUCAGAUGUUGAUUUUAGCAGGGAUUUUUCAUGUUAUAUGUUAGCAGAGAUUUGUGUUGUUACAUAGAGCUAUUUCUUGAGAUAAUUUACUGUAUAUAUUUGUUUGUGCAAUGCUUCAUUCUAUUUCUUCUUCACUCUCAUUGUUCUCAUUUGUAGAGACAAAUUGAUUUGUUUCUAGGGCAUUUGGUAUUCAGAUUCUGAUAUUUCUCCUGCUGGCUCUUCUGGAUUCUCUAGAUCUCCUAUUGUGCUAUUAUUAUUAUGGGCAUAAUGUUUCACAUGAGAGGCAUGAUAUCACUGAAAUUUUCCUAAUACCUCAAUGGAUGUGGAAGUAGUUAAAACUACUUCGAGUGGGCUAUUCCAUCUAGGCUCAGUAGAUGUAUCACUAACAAAAUUCUUCACAUACACUUUAUCACCUGGCUUGAUAUUGUGCUGUGAGAAGUCAAGUGGUACCCUUUGGACUAACAAUCCUAGAUUCCUUAGUUCUUCCCAACCUAUUCUGUAUUUCUACUAGAUAGGUAUGAAGCUGACAUUCUCCUCUUAGCAUGGAUUUGUAAGAUGGUUUAGCUGUUAGUCCAUGCCACAACGGUUGUCCAUAUAGAAUUUCGAAUGGGGAAAUAUCCAAGUCUCCUCUGGGUCUAGUUCUAAGGUAGAAUAAAGCUAAAGGAAGAACAUUUGUCCACUUUAGAUGUGUUUGUGCACAAAGUUUUCCUAUCAUUAUUUUUAAUUCUUUAUUCAUCCUCUCAACCUGACCUCAACUUUUUGGUCUAUAAACAUUGUGUAGACUACUUUUGAUUUCUAAGUUCUUGUAUACUUCUUGCAAUAUCUGUGAUGUGAAAUGACUUCCCCUGUCAGAGUCAAUAAUAUCAGGAAUGUCCUAUCUAGGAAUUAUUUCCUUCAGUAACGUUUUCACUACAAUGGCUGUAUUGUUGCUCUUAGCCAGAUAUCCCUCUAUCCAUCUAGUCAGACGAUCCAUAAUUACAAAUACAUAUUUAUAUCCCUUGUGACUAGGCAUAUUAAUGUAGUCAAUUUGCAAACAUUGGAAAGGUAUAUAACUUAAAGAUCUGCCUCCUAGUGCCUUGUUCUUAAAAUGACCUUGAUUGAAUUUCCUAAAUAUAUCACAUGCCUAACAAAUUCUAAUAGCAUUUGUAGAUAUCUCUGGGGCUGUCCAAAAUCUCCUAAUGCCAUCCAACAUGGAUUUCACUCUGUAAUGACCUUUGGAGUGAAUCACAUUACAUAGAUGUUGAUAAAGUUUUCUGGGAAGUAUGGGAUUUCCUUCUGCUAGCAAUAUUCCUUUCACUAAUUUGGCUCCUAGGUAUUUUUUCCAUGAAUGAAUCUCAUCUCUGUGGUACCCUUUAGUAAUAUGCUUUUCCACCAGAGAAAGAUUCAGAACACAGUAAGGACCAAAUCUGACUCCAUAUCUUGCUGUUAUGUCAGUCCUUUGAUUCCCCUGGGAUAUACAUUGUCUUUGCUAGAAGUGUGUGCUUUGCAAUGUAUCACAGCUACUUCACUUGGCAAAUCUUCUGAUGCUAUCAGACAGGAUAUAAGAUCUUAAUGUGCAAUUUGCUUCACAACUGUUGUUACAAAACCUCUGUUCUUCCAUAUAUAUACAUUAGCAUGCAAGGUUGCAAAAGUGUAACUUGAAUUGGUAUACACAUUUGCUCUUUUGCCUUUUGCCAAUUUGAGUGCCUGCAUGAGAGUUUUUAAUUCAGCACCUUGGGUGCUGACAUGACCAGGUAGUGAAGCAUGCCAUAGUGUAUUGUCAUUGGUCACUAACUACUGCUGCACCUGUGACCCUUUGUCCUCUAAAGAUGUAUAAGGAUCCAUCUGUGUAUAACUCAAUCUCUGGGUCACUAAGAGGUGUAUCUUUUAAGUCUUCCCUUGGUUUGUAUAGAAUUUCUUGUAUUAAGUAAUUACUCUGAGAGGGAGAUGAUGAAUUAAGGAUCAGAUUUGCCUCCUUUUGUCUUUGGACAGGAUGCAGCCUGCAGCCUGUGUUGGUGUUACUUACCUCUUAAAUUUAUCUUGCCAAAUUUCUAUCUAUUCUUAACCCUAUACUAAGUUAAAUAUUCCUUUACCCUCCCAAAACAAUAAAUCCUAAUAUGUCUUAACUAUUCUGUCUACCUAACUCUAUGCUAAUUUUGGGUAUAGGAAAAUGGUUUAGGUAACAGGAAUUUACAUGAAUAUAGUUUUGAACAUAACAAACCAUGUAACGAUUUCAACAAUUUCAACAGUAUUUUGAACAUGUAAUUGUCCUAUCUUCUAAUGUCUAUAAAUUAUACUAGGUAAAAGUUUCUAUGACUAAUAAUUGUUAUUAAUAUUAUUAUGUACUCUAACUUCUAUGCUUAAUUCUAUGUCUUUCCCUAUAUUCCCUAAGAAUAUAAACAAUUUUUCUAAGCUUUCCCUGUCAUUAGUGAUUAAAACAUUAAUAAAUUACUCUAAUAAAGUUAGUCUGUUUGUAUCUAUAUAGAUUUACAUAUGUACAAAUAUAUAAUAAAAUAUAAUGUACUUUCUGUGCAAACUCAUGCAGAUAAGAAAUUUCUGUUUGAAUUUCCACAGAAAUUUAUACAUAUAUCAGCAUGAAUUUGUGUGUUGCAAUUAUGCAUGUGUUAUAUACUUACCCAGUCCAUGAGAUUUCCUUUCACAUUGUGUUUUUAUGUGUAUCAUAUGUCUGUAUAUGUGAAAUUAACAUGUAUGUAGCAUUCUUACAUGACCUCAUGACCACAUGUUCAAAAUUUCAAAGUCCUUCCAUGUCUUUGUUGUUGAUUUGAUUGCAAAAACAUACGUGUCUUAGUUUUUCAUCUGUGCUGGAUAUACUUGUUGUCUGUCGUCAGCUCUUGAUUGAAGUCCUGUGUUGUUUAAUACUCAGGAACAUACAGGAACAUGCAUGUGUAUAAGAUUUUACAUGUGCAUGUAUGUAAGUUUGAAUUUUUCAUUGUGCAUGGAAGUAAGGUAUGAAUUCUUCAUGUGUGCUUGUCAGUAUUUAUGAGUUGUUUUUCAUAUGAUUAGCUUCAUGAGUGGGUUUUGCAGUAUGUUGUACUAUUUAAGUUAUUAGAUGCAUGUUAUGAUUAUGAAUUUGAUAUUCUCUUAUAUGAUGUUUGAGUUUUCACAAGGGGUUUUAUUGUUUGCUCUCUUUGAUGCUCAUGUUAAGAUAUGUUGACUUUUUGAUGUUUCUUGGAGAUAGAAUGUUGACAUAAUGUAUUUCAUUUAGUUCAUAGUUAUGUUUUCUUAGUGAAAUAACUUAGCUACUUUGUUGUUAAAAUUGUUGGCAGAGAUUUGUAGAGGCUUUUUCAUUAGAGUUAAUUCUAAAGUGCCUGUUUUUCUGUCUGUUUUAAUGUAAAUCUUUCUAUCCAAAGCUAUUUCAUUUGCUUUUGCAAUGCUUGCUUAUUCUAAUUUGUACUCUUGUUUGCUUUCCUUUGUUUUCUUUCAUAGAUUUUCAUUAAUAGGGACUGUUUUUAAUUAUUACUGGGGCUAUUUGUAUUGUUGAUUAUGGCUAGGGCUAUUUGUUUCAGAUGUCAUAUUUGUACAUCUUCAUUGAUGGUAAUGUCAUGGGUGUGAUGCAACUUUACAUGAAAUAUGAAACCAAGGAUCUUUUUCAUCAACCUUUACCAAUGUCGGUAUGACCUUUACAAUGGUUAGAGGUCCUAUCCAUCUUGGUUCUGUAGGAGAUUCUCUAUUGAAAUUCUUGACAUGUACUUUGUCUCUUGGUUUUAUCUUAGGAGAUGAAAAAUCUAAUGGUAUUCUUUAAACGAGUAAACCCAGUUUCCUUAGUGUUUCCAAUCUAUCUUGUAUUUGUUUUAGAUAUUCAUGAAGUACACAUUCCCCGAUGAUGACUUUACUGUCCUACCAUGCCAAAGUGGUUGACCAUAUAGCAUUUCAAAUGGUGAUAUAUGCAAAUCAUUUCUAGGUCUAGUUCUUAUAUUGAACAAAGCAAGAGGCAUAACAUCUGUCCAUUUUAAAUGUGUUUCUGAACAGUUUUCCUCUUUGUGUCUUCAAUUCUUUGUUCAUACAUUCCACCUGGCCUGAAUUUUGGGGUCGAUAAACUGAGUGAUAAUUGCAUUUGAUCCCCAAGUUCUUGUAGAUUUCUUGCAGAACUUGAGAAGUGAAAUGAGACUCCCUGUCCGAGUCUAUGGUAGUGGGAAUGCCAUGUUUAGGUAUCUUACUAUUGUUGCUAUGUCAUUUUUCUUGGCUGGACAUGCUUCAAACCAUCUUGUCAGUCUAUCCAUAAUAACCAAUGCAUAUUUGUAUCCCUUGUCUUUGGGCAUGUUAAUAUAAUCAAUUUGAAUACAUUGGAAAGGCAUGUAACUGAGAGGUCUGCCUCCCAAUGCUAUGUUCUUAAAAUGUCCUUGAUUAUAUUUUCUGCAUGUUUCACAUGCCUGACAAGUUCUAAUGGCAUUUGUUGUUAUUCCUGGUGCCAUCCAAAACCUCUGUAGGAUCCAGAAUCCCUUGUACCCUGUAAUGUCCUUUUGCAUGAAUUACGGUGCAUAGAUGUUGAUAUAGUUUUUAGGGAGAAUCAGUUUACCCCCUUGAGCAAUCCAGAUGGUUUGAUUAAUUUAGCGCUCAGCCACUCCUUCCAUGACUGUAUUUCUUCUCUGUUUUAAGCUUCGAUGAGAUUGUGCUUUUCAAUCAUAGAAAAAUUCAGCACACGGUGGGGUCCAAACCUUACAGCAUAUUUUGAGGUUACGUCUGCUCUGUCUUUCCCUAGGGAUAUUCAGUCCUUUCCAUGAGUAUGUGCCUUGCAUUGGAUUAUGGCCACCUCUUUUGGAAGUUCUAUAGCAUUUAUAAUACGGUCUAUUAAUUUGCCAUAUGCAAUUGGUUUCCUAGCUGAAGUUUUAUACCGUCUGUUUUUCCAUAUGUAUGCAGAAUAAUGCAAAGUGGAGAAAGCAAAUACAAGUCCAUGUAAAUGUUAACCCUCUUUCCUUCAGCUAACUCCAGAGUCAUGAGCAGAGCCUUUAGCUUGGCUCCUUGAGUGCUAACAUGACUUGGCAAUGAUGCAUGCCAAAGCAUUUUGUCAUUGCCCACUACUGCAGCUCCUGUGACUCUAAAUCCGUUGUGAAUAUAGGAGGAUUCAUAAGUGUAGAAUUCUAUUUCUGGAUUGAUAAGAGGUGUGUCCUUAAGGUCUUUGUUGGGUUUAUGCAUCAUCUCCACUACUUGGUUACAAUCAUGCAGUUGCUCACCACCUAUUGACAAAUCUGGAAUUGGAGUCUGGGUUGAAUGGUACACAUCUAUGAAUAUUGAUGUUGUCACUGCCUAGCAAAAUUAUAUACUGGGAUAUUCUUGCAUCAGUGAAUGAAUGCAUAUUCUGCAACUUUAGCAAUUUUUCUAUUUGGUGUGCAGAAUACACAUGCAACUUGCAUCCCAGUACUAUAUCAGAAGAUUUCUUGACCAUAAGAGCUGUUGCUACCAUGCUCCUAAGGCAAUGCACCAUUGCUUGUGUGACAGCAUUGAGGAUAGAACUGUAAAAUGCAAUAGCCCUUAAGUUCAGCCCAAAAUAUUGUGCUAAUAUUCCAGAAACGAUGUCUUUAGCUUCAUAGACAUACAAGUGGAACUCCUUCUUAUAACCUGGUAUUCUCAAAGCCAGAGCUGAUAGAAUGGCUCUUUUUAACUGUGACAAAGCAUGCAGGUGUUCUUUGUUUAAUUGCAAUGGUUCUUUAAUUUCUUUCUUUGUCAAAUCAGUUAAACAUUUAAAAAUAUGGGCAUAUCUUACUAUGUAUUAUCUUGAGAAACCAGAAACCCCUAGAAAUGCUCUAAGUUCUUUCUUGGUCCUAGGGAUGCCUAGCUUCCAUAUGUAUGCUAUUCUUUUAUUAGAGAUUUUCCUGGUGCCCCCCUCCAGGACAAAUCCAAGAUACUCAGCCUUCAGGAGAACCCUCUGGAUUUUCUUUUUUGAAACUUUGUGUCCUCUCUUAUGAAGCUCUACUUCUUUGAAUCUUUCAAACAUGUUUUUGGGUCAGGUGAUGCUAGCAGUAAGUCAUCCACAUAAUGUAUUAAUUUAUUUUAGGAUUUUGGGUGAGGAAAGAACAAGAGGGAACAUAUAAAUGAUUCAGAUUUAUUAGUUGAGAAGGGGAGGAAGGAAUAGGAGUUUAGGAGGAAAUUAUACUAAUUAUCUUAACAAUCUAAUAUCUAAAAAUAUCUAAAACUAUUUUAUUAAGCUAAACAGUAAAUUUCCCUAAUAGUCAAGUCUCACACCAGGAGUCCAAACAAAUGGUCCAGGAUCUUCAGUUGUUUAGUCUAUCUUCAUUCUUCUUGAUUCAAAGCUGCCAGCAGCCAGAUCCAAAAGAUUUCUUUUCUACUGUUGGUCUCAGGAGAAACCCUUUCCCAAGCCUCAAACUUGGGUCCUUCCAGGAGAGAUCUCAUGAAGUCCACUAUAUAUAUAUAUAUAUAUAUAUAUAUAUAUAUAUAUCUUUCCCAGAUCUAUAUCCUCAGGCUCCCAUAAGACUCUUAGUCACAUGCUCCUGUCAAUUACUCACUCUGAUGUUUGCACCUCUGUUUUUGCAAACCAUUCAUCUUUAUUAUACUACAUUUGAAAGUUAUGUUAGCUAGAUCUCUCUGUAGAAGUUGACAAAAUAUGGAAGCUGACUCACAACAUCUUUGCACUAGUCUUGUACACCACAACUGAGUUUGUCCCCAGUGGAAAGCAAAAAUAUUUUGAGAGUCAGGGUGCAGUGAUAUGGUAAAGCAUGCAUUGCUUCAGUCCAACACUGUGUACCAUAAUGCCUCUGAAGGUAUUUGUGUUAUUAUAUCAUUCAGAGAAGGUGUGACAGUGUGGGUUUUUUCUUAUUUACUGCCCUAAUAUCCAUCACAAAUCUCCAAACUGAAAUGCCAUCUUCAUUAAGCUUGUACUUUUUAAUAGCUAGAAUUGGACUAUUAAAUUCAGACAUUGUAGGGUUUGAAAUGCCUUAUUCUAAGAAGCUGUUUAUGAUUGGUGUUAUGCCUUCUUUUGCUUCCUUACUUAAUUUGUACUGUGGCAUCUUGAGUGGUAUUCCAUCCCUGACUUCAAUUCUGACUGAUGUCACUGGUUUUAUCCUACCCACGUUAUUCUGAUGUUUUAUAAAUACUCCUUAUGGGAUAUCUUUAAGUAUUUCAUACAUAGAUGUUAAAAUUUGAAUUUUCUCGGGUUCUUCUUCUAAUUGUUCCAGAUAUAACAAUGGGUAGUGUUUUAAUGAAUGUUUGGGCAAAUGCAAGUAUAUUUUCCCAGAUCUUUCACAUUGCAAAGUUGCCCGAAUUUUACACAAAAAAUCCCAUCCUAAAAGGUUAUCUGGACAUGAGGGAAUAAAUAAAAAUGUAUGAUCAAUGGUGAGAGGACCCAAUUUGACCAUUGUGCUUUUGAGCUCAGGGACCUGUUGUAUUUGUCCCAUAGCUCCAGCUAUAGAAACCAUACCCCCUAUGUUGGUAUCCCCUGGACAUGUCUUUAGGACAGAUUUUGAAGCAUCAGUAUCUACAAGAGCUUUGUAUUUUUCCUCUCCCACUUUAAUCCAUAUAUAGGGUUCUGGCUUUUGUGUAGAUAUGGAAUUUAUUGUUAGUGAAUCACUCUGCACUGCUCUGGUACCUUCUGCCAGUUGUAUGGGUGAACUAGUUAAAUCUUCUAGACUUAAAUCAUUUCUUCUUUAUCUGAGUUUGAUUGUAUUAUAUCUUGUACUUCAUUGGAAAAUGAAUUUAAAUCACAGCUAUGUUUAAUCUGAUAUAUUCCUUCAUGGUAAGACUUCCCCCAACCAUUUAGAAUGUUAGUUUCAUGGCUAUCAUUUGAAUCCUUGGCUGUUCUAUCAGUUGCUAAGUUUUGCAUUCUAUUCAUCUUUUCAAAUUUAACUGCUACUCCACCUCCAUUACUUUGAAUAUGAUUAUUAUUUCAAAUGUAAUUUCAGUUUCAUGUUCAUUAAAUUUUGUAAUUUCUAAAUUAGUCACUAUAGGAUGAAAGUUUUCAGCUUCUGGGUUCAAACUAGAUGUUUUUUUCUAAAGAAAUAUGUGCCAUAUAGCUAUUUGAAGCGUUCCUGUGGGUUUUUGUGUUUAUCUGUGAGUGUUUGCAAGUCAUUUAUAAUCCCAUUAACAAUAAACUUUUGUUUUGACUUUCUGCUACAGUUCUUUUGUUGUACAGAAUUGAAAUUUUUCUUUUUCUGAGUCUUUCACCAGCUCCUGCUUAGGUUUAUGUGAAUUCUUAUGACUUUUGUUAGUACAAAAUUCAAUCCUUGUGCCCAAUCUGCACUGAAAUAAUGUUUUCUAAGUAUGUUUUAAUUUGUGUCCUACUUUUUUCAUGAGUGGUUACUAUGUUAUUUCACUCUGAGUCUCUUAUUUCCUUUUGUAUCCGAGCAAUGAUAUUUUUAACUUCUUCAUCUAGCUCCUUCACUUGUCUCUGCAUUUCAUUUGAUAUUUUGCUUGGCUUACUUUAAUCAGUACUCACAGACUUAAUUUUCUGCAUCACCUUUGUAUUGUCUCGUUUUCUGUUCUUUCUUUUGUAUUGUACCAGCAUGUCUAUCACUAUUUUGCACCUCUCUAUCUCCAUGAACCAAACUAAAUACGUUAUAAUUUUGGCUUCAUAAGUCUCCUUUUACAAUAUCUGAAUAUUUAUGUUUAGUCCCUGCAUCUAGCUUCACACAUUUCCUGAAGGUUUGAUGCUUCCUGAUUUGAUCUUAAAGUGCAGUAUUUGCAGCAGGUAUUUUUCUGCUUUUUAUAAUGUUUUCUUUGUGUGUUCUUAUUAUUAACUUCAUACUUCUUUUUUAGAAAACAGUUUUGUGAAGUGUCCAGUUUUAUGACAGAAAAAUCAUUGUCUGGUCUUACAUUCCAUUGCUGGUAGGAAGGUUUUGUGUAUGUUUUGAUCACAUUAAGAUUUUUAAUUUCUUACAUCUUUUUUUCCUUUAGAUUCUGUUCUGAGUCAUAUAAUUUUUGUUUUAAUUCUGACAACUGUCUAUUCUGAUCUGUGUGACUCAUAAAUGUAUGAUGUAGAAUCUCAUAACUCAAAGUCACCAUAUCAUAUUUGGGAAAAUAAUUUUUGAAGAAAUUCUUGAGAUGUGGUGUGUAAACUCUAAGAAAUUGACUUCUGACAUGAGCUGUAAACUCUUCAGAGUCCUUUUCUAUUCCCAUGAUAGCCUCUGGGAUUUCAGAGAGGUGGUCAAUGAAUGUGGCUGGGUGCUCGCUCUUUAUUUCGACCAUUUUGUCAAAUUUACCCCAAGCAUUUGGCUUGGAGCAACACAUCUUGAUUGUCUAGAGCAAAUCCUCCCUGCAUUUCCUAAGAUAGAUCAUGCAUACAGGGUUAGAGAAGUCAAAAUCCUUUCUUUGCUCCUCUGUUGGCCAGUUCAUCAGGGUGCUUUCAAAUCUCAUUUUGUCUAUGAAUUGGCGGUGUUCAUGGGGGCUAAAUAAUUCCAACAGAAGGAGCUCCAUAUCAUCAAAACUUGGUUCAGAGAUAUGAAAUGCUCUUUUCAGUUCCUUCUGUGUUCUGUGGGGCUCUGAGAUAAAUUUUGGAAAUCUUUCCUUGAUGGAAUUCAAUUCCUGAGUGGUGAAUUUUUUAUGGACCUUAGAGUGUAACACUCCUGCUGAGUCUGAGAUCUUAUGUCCUUUAAAGGCAAAAUUUUCUCAGCCUCUUUGUACCAGUGUCCUUAUCCUUGUCAUUUCCCUGUGCACCUGACUUGUUUUUCUUGGACUUCUUUUCCUUAUCUUUUGUUACUUUGUCAUCCUGCCCAUUUCCCUUAUCUUUGAUCUGAUUUAACCCUUUUACUUUAAAAUUUCCUCACAUAUAUUCUUGACAAGAUCUUCCAAGUUUGUGUCCACUACCAUGAGUUGUGCCACUGUCCUUGUUACUAAAAACUUGUAAAUGUUCAUCAUGCAUGUCAGAGUCUAUAUUCAGCCAUGGUAAAAAUGUAAGCCUAACUCAGUAUCUUUUUGAAAUGGUUUAUACAUUAUAAAUGUGGUAGUAUUUGUUAUGUACCUCACAGUUUCUAAUAGUAUAGUGGUCAUAGUACUAUACAAUAUGCUAUAUACCCAAUAGCCUGCAAUUAUGGCUAACACCAUCAUUCCACAUACUAUCUGUUUGAACAUUUUGCCUUUUCUGACUUCCUGUCUACAGGGUAUGGAUACAGUCUGUUCAGGGUGCCAAAUUGUAUUAGGGAAUUACUCUGAGAGGGAGAUGAUGAAUUAAGGAUCAGAUCUGCCAACCUCCUCCCUUCCUUCCCUACUCCCUCUGCUCCUUCCCUCUUCCCUCUUCUCUCUCCCUACUCCCUUCCCCCAUAAAUUAGUUCUACAGUUGGCAUCACAGGAAAUCUGCUUGAGUUAGUAUCUUGUUAUAACAGACAGAUAACUCUCUCUUUAAUAACUUUAAACAAAAGGGGUUUGUUUAGGAGAAAGGGAGAAGUAAGGGAGUUGAGGGGAGAAAGGGUUUGAGGUUUCUCUAAUCCUAAAAUAAUUCCUAAGUUGGAGGAUGGUGGAAUAGAGUCUAGGUUUUUGGGAAAUUGGCCAACAGGUUUGAAAAUUCAGUCACUUUUAUAUUGUAGGGAGAAACCAGAGAGCAGGACUUUUCUGUCCUUUCUCCUUUCUGUCCCAAGGGCAAGAGACCAAGUUCCUCAGCUUGUCUGUUCCUUUUUAAUGGUCCUUCCUGGUCACCAUUGCAAUUAGAAUGUUUUCUUUGAUUGACAGUUCUUCAGUCCUAGCUUCUCCAGCUCUGCUGUAGACUUUUCCCAUUUUCUCUCCUCCACAACAUUACAUUCUAUUACUUGGGUGCAGUCAUGUAAUGGUCCUUCUAAAGGCAAAUCAGGAACCAGAGUUGCUGGGUUUAGAGGUGCAUAUCUAUGAAUGGUCAAAUUAUCAUUUCCUAGCAAAAUGAUUUCAUACUGAGAUAUGAAAGCCUAGCAGAUGUGAAUGCAUGCAUAUUUUGUGGCCUUAAGAGUUUUUCAUUUUGGUGAGCAGAAUAUACAUGAAACUACUGUACUAAUGGGGAAUCAGGAACCAAAGUUUGACAGGUAACUGAGAGGGAAGGAACAGUAAAGAGGACCACUACUUCCCUCCCAGGCAGAACUGUCUAGAGAAAGGGAGUUGGAUCUGACUAGUGCUGAAUGGUAAGAGAAAAUCCCCUUCAAUCUCUUUUCCUAUUUUCUUCUUUAAUUGACAGUAUUCAUGAUCCCCUUUAUUAAGUUGAAGAUAUAUGAUUUUUGAAUUAAUUAAAAUAUCUAUAUAUAGUAGUAGUCUCUCGGUAACCGAGGAUGACAAUUGUCUUUGUGCGCUUUCAUCUGUGAUGUAGAUGAGUGUGCACAAAAACACUUGUGUGUGAAGGAGAUUUAAAUGGAAAAGUCGAUGCACAGAGACAGUCACACUCUCUCGGCGUUGGAAGCCCAGGUCCAGUGGCACGAAAAAUCGUUACACCUGGAGACUUCCUCAGCUGUAUUGAAUGGCCAUGUUGUCUUUUGUGCUCCAACAUGCCCUAAACACUCCACAGUGCUUUGCUGCGUCGCCCUCUCAGCCAUUGAACCUUCUUGUUGGUUUCUUCCGUCUGUUCCGCAGAAGCAGUCUUCACAUGCUGGGUGAGCAAAGCCUUAGUUCACCAGGGGUCUACGACCCGAUGGCUACCCUCACAAGUUUUAGCCGGCCUGUUGAAGCCGUUGCCUGGGGUAUGGCCACUGCCGCAUGCUAGCAGCUACUAGGAACCACAAGUGAGAGCUGGGUGUCAGGUGAGGGUCAGAGGUAGGAGAGCUGCCCUAGGAGGGCAUGACAAGCUCUCCAUAUCAGAGAUACUACCCCUCCCUGAGCACCCCAUACACCCCAAAUAAAUAUCUAUUUAUUAGAUAAAGGGUUUGGUAUGAUAGGUUAGGAAAGAGGGAACAGGAAAUCCUUGAACUAUAUUUCCUCCUACAGUGUCUUCAGGGGUUUGAAGUUUAAGUCUAGGGACUAAGUAUUAGUGGGGAAAUUGAGAAGGAACCAGAAUUGCCAGAUACAUGGGGAAUAAAUAUAAGGUAGCACCACUUCUACCUCCCCUUCCCCCAAGCAGAGCUAUUGUAUUAAUGGAGGGCUUUGAAGAAGGAACUAAAGUUCAGCUACUUGGGGAUUGAAUACAAUGUGACACUUCUUUCCUUCCUCCCUCUUCCCCAAGUUGAGCUGUUGACCAAUGGAAUCAAUCUGACUAAACUAAAAGGGUAAGUUAAAUUUUCCCUUUAGCUUCCUUCUUUUUUUUUUUAAUUUGUGUUUAAAUUUUUUUUUAAACCCUUACCUUCCAUCUUGGAGUCAAUACUGUGUAUUGGCUCCAAGGCAGAAGAGUGGUAAGGGCUAGGCAAUGGGGGUCAAGUGACUUGCCCAGGGUCACACAGCUGGGAAGUGUCUGAGGCCAGAUUGAACCUAGGACCUCCUGUCUCUAGGCCUGGCUCUCAAUCCACUGAGCGACCCAGCUGCCCCCCCUUCAGCCUCCUUCUUGAAGUGAUGUUUUUGAAGUUCUCCUCCUAACACAUUUGAAUCUGAUUCAAAUUUCUAUUAAAAUAAAGAUGUCUAAUUUAUUUAGAUAUAAAGGGGUGAAGGGUAAACAGGAAAAGGGGGAAAGGAAAUCCCUAGGUAUUUUCUCUUAUAUAGAUCUUGAGGGUUUGAACCAGAGUCUUCUUUAGAAGUAAGCUCUGGGUUCCCCUAAGGGAAAAAGAGUCCUUAUCCUAAAGAUUUGCCACCAGUUGAGAGAUAAGAUCUUUUGCUGGUCAGGUAAAAGGACUGAGAGAUUUUGUGUAUCUUCACAGCCAAAAGUAGUUCUCCCUCCCAGCGCCAAGGGGCCCAAGAUAAGAAGAACUCUUAUUUUUUCUCCCAACUACCUUUUGAGUCUGGCUGGAAAUUCUAUACCAUCCCCCAAUAUCAUCUGGGGUUCCAUCUGCUCUUCUUCUGAGACAUUUCUUCAAAACUCAAUUUUUUUUCAUUGCUUCUGGUCAUUCUCUUGUAUACCAACCCCCCAUUUCUGUGUUCAUACAAAGUCAACCAGACUUUUGUAAGAGUGUUCAGUAGUUACGUUAUCGAUUAACUAAUGUAUUCUAACUAUCUAUUUUAUGAAAUACACUAUCCUAAAUACUCUACCCACCCCCAAAUAACAAAUCCUAAAAUAUUUUCACUAUCCUAAUCUUUUAAAUUCUAUGCUAAGAUUUAGGGUUAAAGGAAAGUGGAAGGGUAGGAAAAAUUCAAAUACAAAAGUAUUUUGACCACAGCAACAGAUUUAACAAUUGUAGCAUUUUCUCUGUAACAAAGUAAAUAUUUCUGUCACAAUGAACCACAACCUCUUUCUAACUAUCAACUCUUACAAACUCUAUUAACUCCUAAGGUAACUAUAUUUCUUUUAACCUUUCCUCUAGCAACUGUUGAGGGUUUGAUCAAAAGUCUCUUCAAAAAAAUGGUUUUGAAUUUCCCAUAUGGGAAAUGUAGUCUCUAAACCCACAAGAACUUUCUUCAAUACUGUUCAGGCAAAAGGGUUUGGAAAGAGUCUCUCCUAGCUGUCUCUUUCUCAGAGUCCAAAACCAGAAGACCAGCAACAUUUCUGGCUCCAACUGUUUCUUUGUACUUGGAACUCUCCCAUCCCCAGCAGGUGUUCUGAAUAUUCCAUUUGCCCCACCUGGGUCCAUCUUCUUCAUAUCUCAGAUUUUCCUCUGCUUCUGGCCAUUUCUCUUUACAAUCCCCCAUUUCUGUUUUCAUUCAAAAGUCAAUCAGACUUUUGCCCAUUAUGAUCCUUUACUUACCUGAAUGAUAUACUAAUGUCUUCUAACUAUUCUAUGACAUAUUCUAUUCUAAAUAUUCCACCCCACCCCAAAAAUAAGAAAUCCCAAGUUAAGACAUGGGUUCACCAGACAGUGGGAAGGGUAGGGAAAUUCAAAUUCAAAUACAGAAAUAUUUUUGAAGUAACGGAUUCAACAAUUUGUAACAUUUUGGUAACAAACUAAAUUUUUCUAUAACAAUUGUACUAUGAACUCUUCUAACCUCUAUUAACUCUAUUAAUUCUUAAGGUAACUAUAGUCUUCCAAACUUAACUUCUAAAAUAUAUCAUUCUGUCCCUAAUCUACCCUGAGUUUCAAACUUCCCUAAUCUAAACUUUCCCCGUGUGUUAAUUGUUAGUAAAUUUUAAUAACCUAAAGAUUUAUAUCAGUAGAUUAAUUCAUUAGUAUUUUACAAAUGUACAUUGUUCUUUCUGUACAAACUUUACAUAUGCACACUAUGAUACAUUUGUAUAUGAGUUCUGACCAGAAGUCAUUCAGAUAAGAAUUUUUCUAAAGAAACUCAAAUAACAUCAGUAUGAAAUAUGUAUGUGCCCUAAUUAUGAGUUGUUAUAUACUUACCCCAUCCAAGAGUCCUCUUCAUGUUAUGCUUCUGUGUGAAUGUAUAUGCAUUGACCUAUAUGUGACGUUAACAUGUAUGAUGAAAUCUUACCUGACCUUUUUUCAUCAGUCCUUGAUUUAAAAAUUCUUUUGGUGUCCUUGGUAUUGAUUGAAUGAAAAUAUACAUGUCCUGAGUCUUCCUCUGUACAGCAUUCAUACUUUUUGCCUGUUGUCUCCCCUUGAUUGAAGUUCUAUGUUCUCUGAUGAUUUUAACAUACAAGAUCAUGCAUGUGUGUAAGAUUGAAUUUUCUUCAUGUGUGCAUAUGUAUGUAAGUAUGAAUUCUUCAUGUAUGCAUGUCAGUUUUCUAUGCUUUGAAAUCUUCAUGCAUGGAUGUAUAUCUAAUACAGUGUGAAAUCUUCAUGCACGGGUAUAUGUAAUGUAUUUUUCUAAUCAGUUUUAACCGUGUCCUAUAAUUUGAACUUUGACAUUAUUUUUUUAUAAUUUAGAAUCUGGUUCUCUGGAGUUCUGGAUUUAUGGAGAUUUGAAUAUCGGGAGAUUCUGAUAUUUGAAUAUUUCUGGAGAUAGAAACUUUCUUUUACCCUUGAUAUAUACUUUCUUAUUGAUAUAGACAGAGAUCAUUCAUGAUGGUGUGUGGUGGUAGAGAUAUGUUUGUGUUUUUCUGUUAGUAAGAGCUUGUUUCACUAUUAGCAGAGAUCUGAUUGUUAUCUGGAGCUAUUGUCUUUAUACCUGGUACUAUCUCAUAUAUUUAUGCAGUGCCAUUCUGUUUUUUUUCUUUUACUCUCGUUUUUCUCAUUUAGAGGGACUAUUUAAGUUAUUGUUAGGGCAUUUGCCAUUACUUCAGAUUUUUCCUAUAUUCCUUUUUGCAUUCUAUUCAGGAUGUUUACUCUGAAUCUUCUAUGUAGCUGUCAGUAUUGGGGGCAUAAUGCUGUUUUAUAUGUGAGGUGUGAUGCCACUGAUCCUUUCCAGAAACUUUUAUGGAAGUAGGAGUAGUCAUAACUACAUCUAGAGUGCCAUUCUAUCUAGGCUCUGUAGAUGUUUCUCUAACAAAAUUCUUCACAUACACUUUAUCUCCAGAUUUGAUAUUGUGUAGUGAGAAAUCCAGUGGUACCCUUUGUACUAACAAUCCAAUACUAUUUUAAAAUAUUCCCCCAAAUAAAAAAGUCCUAACCUGCCUUCACUAUUCUGACUAUCUAAUUUUAUCCUAAGGUUUGGGAUUAAGGAAAGAGGUGUGGGUCAUAGAAAUGCAAUGCAGAAAUAUGGUUUUGAACACAAUAGUAAGCAAUGCAACAAUUCAAACAAUAUUUUUGACAGUGUAAAUUUCUUAUAUCCUAAUAACUAUAGUUUGUUCUAAGUAAAAGUUUCAAUAAACAACUGUUACUAACAUUAUUAUGAAACAUAUUAAUUAUGCUAUACAUCUGUCUCUAAAUCAUCUAGGAUUCUGAAAACCUUUUCUAAAUCUUGCACUAUUGUGUUAGUAAUUAGAAUGCCAGUAACAUAACCUUCUAUUGUUAGCAGGUUAAUUCUAUUAGUAUUUACAAAUGUACAUAUUUUUCUCUACAGAUUUUACAUAUACACAGUUAUAAUACAAUCUUAUAUGUGAUUUCUGUGCAAAAUCAUGCAGAUAAGGAAAUUCCCUUUGUUUAAAUUUUCCAUAGAAACUCACAAAUAUGAAUUUUGUGUAUGUGUAACUAUGGUAUGUUUUGUAUACUCACCUAGUUCAUGAGAUUCCUUUCUAUGUUAUGCUUAUGUGUAGUUGUGUAUGUACCUAUAUGUGAAGUUAACAUGUAUGACACAUUUUUACGUGACCUCAUCACCAUCAGUUCAAGAUUUCAAAGUCUUUCCAUGUCUUUGGUGUUGAUUGUAGAAACAUACAUGUCUUGGAUUUUUCAUUUGGGCAGCAUACAUGUGAUGCCUGUCAUCUCACCUUGAUUGAAGUCCUGUGUUCUUUAACAUACAGGAACACAUAUGCAUGUAAGUUCUUCAUAUGCGUGUAUGUAAGAAUUAUAUUUUUUAUGCUUGUAUAUGAGAGUAAGUUUGAAUUCUUCAUGCAUGCCUGUUAGUAUUCAUGAAUUGAUUUUUCAUGCAUGGAAGUAUGUGUGGGCAUAUGUAGUAUGUUGUACUGUAUAAAUAUUUCAGGAUGUAUGUUAUGAUUUUGAAAUAUGAUACUAUCAUAUUAUUUGAUGUUUGAUUUCACAAGGGGUUUCAUUUUGUGUAUAUUGCUUCUUUAAGAUGUUCAUAUUAAGAAAUUCUUUUGAAUUUUUCUUGGAGAUAAAAUUUUCCUUUAGCCUAUGGGUUUCUGUGUUCUUGUUGAUGUAGAUAAAAUGAUCUGUUAUAAUGUAUUUUUCAGAGUUGUAUCUUCAUAUUCAAGUAACUAUGUUUCCUUUUCAUUGUUGUUGUAGACAAAGACAAUUUUUUAUUGGAGCUGUAAUCUUACUAUAUGUGUGGGCUAUUUUGUUAUUGCUUUUGCAGUGCUUAUUUCUGUUGUAAUUUGUACUCUUGUGUCUUUUCUUUAUGUUAUUAUAUGCAAUGCUUUCAAAUUUCUUCUUGUCUUCUCAUUUAUAGCUUUCCAUUUAUAGGGACUGUUGUUAAAUAUUGCUAGGGCUGCUGACAAUAUUGCAGAUUUUCCUUAUGCAUUUUCUUCUUCAUCGUUGGUAAUAUCAUGGGUAUAAUGUAGUUUUACAUUAUACAUGUGAAGCAUGAAACCAUGGAUCUUUCCCAUCUACCUUUAUCAGUGUAGGAGUUACCAUAACAACAUCCACAGGACCUAUCCAUCUUGGUUCUGUGGAUGGUUCUCUAGUAAAAUUCUUGACAUAUACACUGUCUCCUGGUUUUAUUUGAUGUAAUGAGAAAUCCAAUGGUUCUCUCUAUACUAGUUAUCCUAGUUUUCUUAAUUUUUCCAGUCUAUCAGUAGUCUUUCUGAGUAUUCUAAGCAUGUCUUAGGAUCUGGUGAUGCUAGAAGUAAAUUGUUAACAUAGUGCACCAACUUGCUGUGCUUGAAACUAAUAGUUGCUAGGUGUCUCUGAAGCAAUUGGCAGAAGAUAGAGGCUGAUUCACAACAACCCUGGACUACAUGAGUCCAGCAGAGCUUAUUUUGUCCCCACAAGAAAGCAAAAAUGUUUUGAGUAGAUAAGGAAACUUGGUGAAUUAUAGUUGGGUGGGGGAUGGGGAUUUUAGAGAAGUUACACCAGGAAGUAAGCUAAAGAAAGAGACUGAAUCUUGAGCCCCUCCCCUACACUACUUCCUGUUUCUUAAUUCCCAAUUGUCUGAAUGAAGAUCUUCUCACAGAUGGCAAGUUGAAAAUUUCCCCACUAAAAGCCAAAUCUCACAAUUAGUACUUUAACUAAAGGAUCUUUUAUUCUUUGGGGAGAUGGGGUAAGAAGAGGUUGGGGGAAUGAGGGAAAUUAGGGUAUCCAUAAUUUCUAAGUUAUCAUGUUGAUUGAAGGCUUUGAAAUAAAGUCAAUUCAGAAACCAAAAUUAUCUUCCCUUAAGAGAAGGAGGCAGAAAACAGCCAAGAAGUGAAGUCUCAGGCAGCUGGAGCCUCCUAGCUGCUUCUUUCAAGGUUCCAUUGGAACAGUCUCCCCUCACACUAUGAUUUGUGUUCUAAAAGUUCUGAGCUCCUUUGCUUUGCAGAUCCAUUUUUCUUUGCCCAAAUAUUUUCAUUCACAAAUCCCCAUUUCUGUCUUUGCCAGAAUUACAACCAGGAAUUCUGCAUUCCUUUUCUCAUACUGACCUUUUAUUUUCCAAUUUCUUCUUUCUAAGUUAUGAUAAUAUACUAUUUUAAAGUAACCUUCCAAAAUAAAAAAUCCUAGACUAUCUUUACUAUUCUAAUCUAGCUAACCCUAUUCUAAGAUUUGGGAUUAAGGAGAGUGGGAUAGGCCAUAACAUAGAAGCACAAUACAGAAAUAUGGUUUUGAAAACAAUAAUAACCAAUGCAACAAUUUAAUCAUUUUUAACAACAAUAUAACUUCCUUAUUUCCUAAUGAACUAUAGCCCGUUCUAAGUAAAAGCUUUAUAAACAAUAUCCAUUCCUAACAUUACUAUGUUACUUAUAUUAAAUAUGCUAUCCAUCUGUCCCUAAUCUAUUUAGAAUUUAAAAUGACUUAUCUAAUCUUGCCCUGUGUAUUAGUUGUUAAAAAUGUAAGUAACUUAAAACAAUAUUGUUAAAAUGUUAGUUCCAUUAGUAUUUUACAAAUGUAUAUAUUUCUGUCUGUACAAAUUUUACAUAUGUACAAUUAUAAUACAUUUUGUAUGUGAGUUCUGUUCAAAGUCAUGCAGAUAAGAAUUCCUUUGUCUGUUUGAAUUUUUCACAGAAACUCACAAUUAUAUAAGUAUGAAUUUUGUGUGUUUUAAUUAUGAGGUGUUACAAUCCAAGAGAUUUCUUUUCACAUUGUGCUUAUGUGUGAUUUUAUGUAUAUGUACCUAUGUGUGAAGUUAACAUGUAUGAUAAAUUCUUAUGUGACCUCAUCAUCAUCAGUUCUAGAUUUCAAAAUCUUUCCAUGUCCUUUGUGUUGAUUGUAGAAAAUAUACAUGUCUUGGGUUCUUCAUCUCUUCAGGUUAUACAUGUUGUUUGUUGUCUCCCCUUGAUUUAAGUCUUGUGUUCUUUAACAUAUAGGAAUAUGCAUGUGUGUAAUCUCUUUGUAUGCCUGUAUGUAAGAUUGAUUUUUCCUUGUUUGCAUGUGUAUGGAAGUAAGUUUGAAUUCUUCAUGCAUGCCUGUCAGUCUUUAAUACUUUGAUUCUUCAUGAGUGGAUGUAUGCUUUUCAGUUGGUAAUCUUCAUGUGUGGGUGUAUGUAAUAUGUUGUACUAAGAAGAUUUUAAGAUAUGUCUUACAGUUUUGAAAUGGGAUAUUGUCUUAUCAUUUGUUGUUUAAUUUUUCAAGGGUGUAAUAGGGGAUUAUUUAAGUAGAAAUGAUAAUUCAAGAUCGGAUCUGCCAGUCUCCCUUCCUCCCUUCUUCCCUCCCCUUUGUGACAAGGAAAUAACUUUAAAAGACUGAUAUAUAUAUUAAUUUAAGGUUGCCAAGGAAUUCAGCUAUGUAAUUCCUUAAUGAAAACUCAAGUCAGUAGUCAACCUUUUAUGGAGUUUAAUUACAAACAGGAGGAAGAAAGGUAUGAGAGAGAGAGAGAGAGAGAGAGAGAGAGAGAGAGAGAGAGAGAGAGAGAGAGAAGGGAAUAGGGCUUAAAUACCCCCUCUGUUUAGGCUGGGCCAAAAGGCCCAAGCCCUUAGAUAGCUGAGGCAAAGAAAAGAAAUCAGUCCCUAUCACUCACGUGACCAAAAUGGAGAAACAGUCUCAGGGGCCUCCACCUCCAGCUUCCUUCAGAGCAAGCUUCUCAGAGCACAACCUCUCAGAGCAAAACCUCUCCAACCAACCACCUCAGUCCUCAGACCCCGCUCUUUUUAAGGAAACCAUCCAAGUUCCCUCCCCUCAGUUCUCACAUCUACCAAUCACUGUCCAUGUCUUCCCUGUGCCAAUGGUGGCUCUAGCUUAACCCAGGACCGCCCAGAGGUCUGUGGCUUUACACAUGUCUGUUGAAGGUCAUAUUCUCAAAUAAUUAAAUCUUGAUCCUUUGCUGCAACUCUUCCUAAAUCCUGUUAUCCUGAGCAGGGUGGAGAUUGGAAGUUCCAAGACCUGGUUCUGUCAUUCCAAGUAUCUCUAUUGUAUCAAUUCUAAAAUCAAUCAUGACUCAAAGAACUUCCUGUUCUAUGCUUAAGCAUAGGUCAAAGCCCUUUCCAUUGUUCAGCAAAAGGUUUCUGUCCUAAAGCAGUCUUAGGUAGGGAGGAGAAGGACCCUCCCUACCUAAUGUUGGAAAUGGGGAAAUUUCCAACAUUCAUAAGUCUAAGAAAUUUUAAGGUUUACACCUUCCAGUUGAUUCUUCUAUUAUUGGUCUCCCUAAAUCAACUCAGGGUGAGUUUUAUGAUGUCUCAAAUAAAAUACUCUUUCUCUUCUCUAAGAAUAAGUAAGGGGUUUAUUGGGGGGAAAGGGAAAGAUAAGGAAAUGGAGGAAAAGAGGGUUUGGGGUUUCCCUAACACUAGAAUAAUUCCUAGGUUGGAGGAUGGUGGAAUAUAGUUCAUGUGUGAAAUUGGGAAAAUUGGUUAACAGAUCUGGACAUUCAGCAGAGAAAUCGGAGAGAGCUGGACUUUUGUCCUUCUUCCUAUCUGGCUCCAAGGCAAAGAGGCCAAGAUUUCAGUUUGUCUCCUCCUUUCUCAACAGUCUUUUCUGGUCUUCAUUCCAAUUAGAAUGUUCUCCUUGUUCUCUUAUUUAAUGGAGAUUUGGAUUCUUUGAGAUGUUUAUAUUUGGAAAUUAUUUUGACUUUUGAAUUUUUUUUGAGAUAGAAUUUUCCUUUAUGAUUCUUAUUUUCUUGUUGGUACAGAUAUAAUUAUACUUGAUGUAAUGUUUUUUGCAGAGAUGUGUCUUCUUUGUUAAGUAACCUUAUUUCAUUCUUAAUGUUGUUGUUAUAAGCAGAGAUCUUUUCUUAUUGGAGCUAUUAUCUUCAUAUUUGGGACUAUUUCAUCAUUGAUUUUCCAGUGCUUAUAUUCUGUUUUAAUUUGUACUCUCCUGUCUCUCAUUUGUGUUGUUGUUGUUCUUGUGUUGUGUUCAGUGCUUUCAUUUUUAUUAUUCUUAUUCUACUCUUAUGUAAUGAUUUCCAUUUAUAGGGACAAUUAAGAUAUUGUUGGAGCUAUUGGCAAUACUUCAGAUUUUUUCUUAUGUAUUUUCUUUAGGAUGUUGCUUCAUGUUCUUAAUAUUGUUUUACAUGAGAGACAUGAUACCACAGAUCUUUCCCCAAUACUUUGACAGAUGUAGGAGAAACCAUAAUCACGUCUAGAGGGCCUAUCCAUCUUGGUUCUGUAGGUGUCUCUUAAAAAUUUUCACAUAUACUUUAUCUCCCAGUUUUAUUUUAAGUAAUGAGAAAUCUAAUGGUACCUGUUGCACUAGCUUCCUUAGUUCUUCCAACCUAUUUUGUAUUUCUACUUGGUAGCGAUGAAGUUGACAUUCUCCUUUUAGCAGAUAAAUAUGAUGAUUUUGCAGUCAUACCAUUCUAUAAAGGUUGACCAUAUAACAUAUUGAAUGGGGAUACAUGAAAGUCACCUAUGGGUCUUGUUCUUAGUUGAAACAAUGCUAGUGGAAUAACAGCUGUCCAUUUCAAAUGGGUUUCUGAACAGAGUUUUCUUAUUAUUGUUUUCAAUUCUUCAUUCAUUCAUUCAACUUGGCCUGAACUCUGUGGCCUACAUAUAUAUAUAUAUACAUCAUGGAGAAUGUUUUUAAUAUCCAGGUUCUUAUAUAGUUCUUGUAGAAUCUGAGAAGUGAAUUGAAUCCCUCUAUCCAAGUCUAUGGUGUCAGGAAUGCCAUACUUAGGAAUUUUUUAUAAAGUUAUGUUAUAUACUUACCCAUUCCAUGAGUUUUUUUUCAACAUUGUAUUUAUUUUUUUCAACAUUGUAUUUAUGUGGACCAUGUGUAUGUAUUUAUGUGAUAUUGACAUGUAUGUCACAUUCUUACAUAACCUCAUGAUCACAAGUCCAAAAUUUCAAAGUCCUUCCAUGUCUUUUGAUGUCAAUUGUAGAAAAUUAUGUGUCUUGGUUUCUCUUCAUCUGUGCUGCAUUCCACAUUUUGUCUGUCAUCUAUUUUGAUUGAAGUCCUGAGUCCUCUGAUAUUCAGGAACAUACUGGAACAUUCAGAAAACAUGCAUGCACGUAAGGUUUUUUACAUGUGCAUGUAUUUAAGAUUGAAAUUUUUCAUUGUGCAUGGAAGUAAGAUAUUAAUUCUUCAUGAGUGCUUUAUUAGUUAUUCUUCAUGUGUGGAAGUAAGUUUUAAAUAUGAUCAUCUUCAUGAGUAGGUGAAUGUAUAAAGUUGUAGUAUAAGUUCUUAGAUUUAUGUUAAGAAUAUGAAUUUGAAGUUUUCUUAUCUUUUGAUGUUUGAAUUUUCACAAGGGGAUUUGUUGUUUUCUGUUUUGUAGAUAUAUCUUGGAGAUAGAAUUUGGAUAUAAUGUAUUUCAUUUGGUCAUGGAGUUAUAUUUUCAUGUUAAAUAACUUUGUUACUUUCUUUGUUUUUACUAUUGUUGGCAGAGACUUUGUAUAGAUUAUGUAGAAACUUUUCCUUGGAGCUACUUUUAAAAUACAUAUUUUCUUUUUGUCUGUUUUACUGGCUAUGUUCCUUUCUGGAGCUGUUUAUUUGCUUUAGCAGAGCUUUUCUGUUAUCAUUUUAACAUGUGCAAUGCUUUCUUGUCUGUACUUUCUGUUGAUUCAUACUCUCAUGUACUUUCCUUUCAUAGCUUUCCAUUCAUAGGCUUCCAUUCAUAAGGACUUAUUGAUUUUUUUGCUAUGGCUAAACAUUAUGGGUGUGAUGCAAUUUUACAUGCGAAGCAUGGAACCAUGGAUCUUUUUGAUCAACCAUUAUAGAUGUUGGGAUUGUCGUUAUGACCAUUGUUGGACCUAUCCAUCUUGGUUCUGUAGGAGAGUCUCUAUUAAAGUUCUUGACAUUUACCUUGUCUCCUGGUUUUAUCUUAAGCAACAAAAAAAAUCUGAUGAUAUUCUUUGCACAAGUAAGCCCAGUUUUCUUAGCUUGUCUAAUCUACUUUGUAUCUGUUUUAAAUAUUCAUAAAGUAAGCAUUCUCUUUUAAAAUGGACAAGUAUGAUGGCUUUACUGUCCUACCAUGCCAAAGUGGCUGACCAUAUAGCAUUUCAAAUGGUGAUAUAUGCAAGUCAGUCCUAGGUCUAGUUCUUAUAUUGAACAAAGCAAGAGGCAUAACAUCUGUCCAUUUUAAGUGUGUUUCUGAACAGAGUUUACCUAUCUGUGUUUUCAGUUCUUUGUUUAUAUGCUUGACUUGACUAGAACUUUGGGACCAAUAAACUGAGUGAUAAUUGCAUUUAACCCCCAAGUUCUUGUAGAUUUCUUGCAGAACUUGGGAAGUGAAAUGGGACCCCCUGUCUGAGGCCAUGGUAUUGGGAAUGCCAUGUCUAGGUAUUAUCUAUUUUAAUAGAAAUCUCACUACUGUUGCUGUGUCAUUUUUCUUGGCUAGACAUGCUCAAACCAUCUUGUCAGUCUAUCCAUAAUAACCAAUGCAUAUUUGUAUCCCUUGUCUUUAGGCAUGUUGAUAUAAUCAAUUUGAACACAUUGGAAAGGCAUAUAACUGAAUGGUCUGCCUCCCAAUGCUAUGUUCUUAAAAUGUCCUUGAUUAUAUUUUCUGCAUGUUUCACAUGCCUGACAAGUUCUAAUGGCAUUUGUUGCUAUUCCUGGUGCCAUCCAAAACCUCUGUAUGGUAUCCAGAAUCCAUUGCACCCCAUAAUGUCCUUUUGUAUGAAUUAUGGUGCAUAGAUUUUGGUAUAGUUUUUUAGGGAGAAUCAGUUUACCCCCUUUAGCAAUCCAAACACCUUUGAUUAGUUUAGCACCUAGCCACUCCUUCCAUGACUGUAUUUCUUCUUUGUUGUAGGCUUCAGUGAGAUUAUGCUUUUCAAUCAGAGAGACAUUCAGCACUUGGUGGAGUCUGAACCUCACAGCAUAUUUUGAUGUUAUGUCUGCUCUACCAAUCCCUAGGCAUAUUCUGUCCUUUCCAUGAGUAUGUGCCUUACAAUGGAUUAUAGCUGCUUCUUUUGGAAAGUCUACAGCAUUUAUAAUAUGGUCUAUUAAUUUGCCAUAUGCAAUUGGUUUCCCAGCUGAAGUUUUAUACCCUCUGUUUUUCCAUAUGUAUGACGACCAAUGUACAGUGGAGGAAGCAUAAUAUGAGUCCAGAAAAAUACUAGCUCUUUUUCCUUUAGCUAAUUCUAAGACCAUGAGAAGAACCUUGAGCUCGGCUCCUUGAGCACUAACAUGACUUGGCUAUGAUGCAUGCCAAAGUGUUCUGUCAUUGUCAACUACAGCUGCCCCUGUGAAUUUUCUCCCAUUGUGAAUAUAGGAGGACCCAUCUGUGUAUAACUAUUUCUGGAUUGAUAAGAGGUGUGUCUUUAAGGCAUUCAUUUGUUUUGUACAUGAGUUCUACUAUUUGACCACAAUCAUGCAAUACUUCUCCACCCAUUGACAAAUCAGGAAUCAUAGUUGCUGGGUUCAAUGGUGCACAUCUAUGAAUUGUGAUGUUUUCAUUGUUUAAUAGAAUGACUUCAUACUGGGAUAGUCUUGCAUCAGUGAAUGAAUGCAUAUUCUGUGACCAUACCAGUUUUUCUAUUUGGUGUGCAGAAUUAACAUGCAAUUUGCAUCCCAGUACUAUAUCAUAUAAUUUCUUGACCAUCAAAAGUGUAGCUACUAUGCUCCUGAGGCAAUGUACCAUUCCUUGUGCAACCGAGUCUAGGAUAGAACUGUAAAAUGCAACGACCCUUAGAUUUAACCCAAAAUACUGUGCUAGCAUUCCAGAAGUGAUGCCUUUAGCUUCAUGGACAUACAAGUGGAAUUCUUUCUUAUAAUCUGGUAUCCCCAAAGCUGGAGCUGAUAACUCCUUUCAACUGUGAAAAAACAUGUAGAUGUUCUUUGUUGAAUUCUAAUGGUUCUUUAAUUUCCUUCUUUGUCAAAACAGUUAAACAUUUGGAAAUAUGAGAAUAUCCUACUAUGUACUUAUCCUGAGAAACCAGCAACCCCUAGAAAAGCUGUAAGUUCUUUCUUGGUUCUAGGGACAUCUAGCUUCUGUAUGUCUGCUAUUCUUUUAUUAGAGAUUUUCCUAGUGCUUCCCUCCAGGACAAAUCCCAAAUAUUUGACUAUUGGAAGAACCCACUGAAUUUUCUUUUUUGAAACUUUAUGUCCUCUCUUAUGAAGCUCUAUCAAUAACUUCUUUGAGUCCUCCAAACAUGUUUUUUGGUCAGGCGAUGCUAGCAGCAAAUCAUCCACAUAGUGGAUGUCAAAUCUGUGACAUUUGAAAGUUAUGGUGACUAGAUCUCUUUGCAAAAGUUAACAAAAUAUUGAAGCAGACUUACAACAUCUUUGCAUUAAUCUAGUAUAGCACAGCUGAGUUUGUCCCCAUUGGAAAGCAAACAUAUUUUGACAAUCAGGGUGCAAGGGUAUGGUAAAGUAAGCAUUGCUCAAGUCCAACACUGUGUACCACCUAGCUUCUGAAGGUAUUUGGGUUAUUGUAUCAUUUGGCGAAGGUGUGACAGUGUGUCUUUUCCUUAUAAAAUUAUUUACAGCCCUCAGAUCCAUGACAAAUCUCCAAGUGGGAGUGCUAUUUUCAUUUAGCUUGUUCUUUUUAAUAGCUAGAAUUGGGCUAUUGUAUUAAGAUACUGUAGGUAUCUUAUGCCUUGUUUUAGCAAACCAUUUAUGAUAGGUGUUAUUCCUUCUUUUGCUUCUUUACUCAAUUUGUAUUGAGGUAUCUUUGGUGGUAUUCCUUCCCUGACCUCAAUCCUGACUGGUGUAACCAACCAGAUCCUAUCUACCUCAUUUUGAUGUUUUGCAAACACCCCUUGUGAUAUAUCUUUUGGUAUUUCAUACAUAGAUGUUACCAAUGGAAUUUUCUCUGGUUCUUCUUCUAGUUGUUCCUAGUAUAACAAUGGGUAGUGUUUUAGUGAAUUUUUGGGUAAAGGCAAAUAAAUUUUCCCAGAUUUUUCACAUUGCAAAGUUGCCUGAAUUUUACACAAAAAAUACCAUCUUAAAAGGUUAUCUGGACAUGAGGGAAUUAAUAAGAAAGUAUGAUCUAUGGAGAGAGGACCCAGUUUGACCAUAGUGCUUUUAAGCUCAGGGAUCUGUUGAAUUUGUCCUGUCACUCCAGCAACAGAAACCAUACCCACUAUGUUGGUAUCCCUUGGACAUGUCUUUAGGACAGAUUUUGAAGCACCAGUAUCUAAGAGAGCUUUGUAGUUUUUCUUUACCACUUUAAUCCAUACAUAUGGUUCUGGCUUCUGUGUAGAUAAGGUGUGUAUUGCCACUGAGUCACUGUUUAUUCCUUUGCUACCCUCUGCCAACUGUAUGUUAGGAUCAGUUCAUUCUUUAUUUAAUUCAUUUCCUAUGAAGUCUCCAUUUGAGAUUGAUAGUACUAUAUUCUCUAUAUUGGAACAUGAAUUUAAAUCAGAGCUGUUACUUAUCUCACGUAAGUUUAUUUGGCCAAAUUCCCCUCUGCCACUUAGAAUGUUGGCUUCAAGUCUGCCAUUUGAAUCCUUGGUUGUUCUUUCAGUUAUUAAGACUUCCAUUCCAUUCCUCUUUUCAAAUUUAACUGUCAUGUCACCUCCAUUACUUUGAAUAAGAUUAUUGUUUUCAAAUGUAAUGUCAGCUUCAUUGUCAGUAAAUUUUAGGUUCUCUAAAUCAAUCCUUGUUGGAUGGAAAAUUUCAGUUUCUGGAUUCAAAGUAGAUGUUUUUCUAAGGAUAUCUGUGCCAUAUAGCUAUUUGAAGAAUUAACUAAGUUUGGUGGGAUGUCAUGCAAUUCUGUGAAUGAUUUCAAAGCAUUUACAUCUCUAGCAACAGUAAACUGUAGAAAUUGAAAUUUUGUUUCUCUGUAUCUUUCACUAACUCUUGAUUUUUUUCUUUUUCUGUCUUUUACUUCUACAAAAUUCAAUCCCCAUGCCCACUCUGCACUGAAAAAAAUUCUCCAAGAAUGUUUUGAUUUGAUUUGCACUUUUGUGUGGAUACUAUACAGCCUUUCUCUAAGUCUCUUAUCUCUGUUGCUAUUUGAGAUAUUUCUUUCACCUCUUCAUCUAUCUAUAUUACUUGUCUCUGCCUUUCUCUUGAUUUAUUAAAUGUACUAUCACUCACUGAUUCACUUUCUUGUAUUGAAUUUUCACCAUUUCUCAACUGUUUUCUCCUAAGUUAAAAAGCAGUCUCUUUUACACAAUCACUUCUAUCUCCAUGUACCAAACUACAUACAUUAUAGGCCUGGCUUCAUAAUUCUUUCAUAACCAUAUCUGAAUAUUUAGGUUUGGCUCCAGAUUUAAUGGCCUGUUGCAUUUCUUCCAAAUUAGUUGCCUGUUUUGUGGAUUUUAGCUUACAAUGAGAACAGUAAGUGGAAUUUUGCUUUCUAUAUCUAGCUUGUGUGUUUUUGUUGUCAUUUAUUUCAUGUUUCUUCUUCAGAAAACAGUCUUUUAUCAGAUGUCCUCUCUUGUGGCAGAAAAAGCAUUCUCUAGUUUCUCUCUGCACUGGUUUUGGUUUAUAACUAGGUUUUGUGUAAGUCCUAACAGUGUUGAGUUUCUUGAUUUCCUCUAUCCCCUUUUCUCUUAGAUUUUUCUCUGUUAUCUCUAAUUUAUCUUUUUAAGUCUUACAUUUGUUGUUCUGAAUGAUUAUUAUGGAGGUAACUAGCAGUUUUCACAUAGUUCUAUCAGGCUUACAGUAUCAUAUUUAGGGAAGUAAUGUUUAAAAAAAUUCUUCAAGUGAGGUGUGCAACCCUUCAAAAACUGUCCUCUCAUGUGAUUUGUAGAUUUCUCACUGUUAGCCUCUAGACCCAUAAUUGAGUUUGCCAUUUCUGAGAGAUGAUCAAUGAAUGUGGUUGGAUGUUCCCCUUUGUUUUGCAUGAGUUUAUCAAAUCUUGCCCAUGCAUUAGGCUUUGAGCAACAGAGCUUUAUAUAUUGGAGCAAAUCUUCUCUACAUUUUCUUAAGUAGGACAUGCUAGUGGGAUUUGCAAAAUCUAGGUCUUCCCUUUGCUCCUCUGUGGGCCAACUAGUUAGGUUGUUAUCUGUCCUGGUCUUCUCAAGGAAUUGGCAUUGCUCAUGAGGACUAAACAGUUCAGACAGGAGAAAUUCUAUAUCUUGGAAGUCUCAGUCAAAGAUCCUAAAAGCAUGUUUCAGGCCUUUCUGCAUCUUAAAAGGUUGCUCGAUGAAUUCUGGAAAAGUUUUUCCCAGGGAUUCAAGUACCUGGGAUGUAAACUGCCUAUGCACUUUAGAUUGUAAUAUACCAGUUGUACUUGAAAGCUUGGUGACCUUUAGUGGACAAAUUUUUUUCUGGUUCAUUAUCAGACAGUGUCCUUGUCACUUUCAUUUCCCUUUACAUUGACCUUUGAUUUCUUUGCCUUUCUUUCUUUUUCUUUGGGUGCACUAUCUGCCUGGCCAUUGUUCUUGUCUUUAAUCUGUUCUAGCCCUUUAUCCUUGAUAAAUUCCUCAAAUAAGUUCUUAAUAACUUUUUCCAGGUUAUUAUCUACCACCAUUAUCUGUUCUGCCUUUUUGGGAAUCACAAAUCUAAAUAUAUUCUUCAAAUAAGUCAGAGUCUGUAUGGCUGCCAUAGAGAUGAUGUAAACUUGAGUCAAAAUCUGCGAUAGUAUAGUUUCAGUCUGAAAUGGCAACUGUAGUAUAAACAUGGUGGUGUUGCCAAUAUAAUCCAGAGAAUCAAAAAUCAUGUUGGUCAUUCUGCUAGAGUACAUUGUAGACCCAAAAUCCAGUAAUGGCUGCCAUCACAACAGCUCCACAGAGUAUUUGCUUAAACAUUUUUCUUUUCUGCUGUUUCUAAGGGAUUGUAUAGUUCAGUCAUUUAUGAGUGCCAAUCUGUGAUAGAUGAUAAUUUAGGGUGUACUAAAUUACUAAUGAAUCAAGUUUUGCCUGCUCUCCUCCCAUUUUCCUCCCUCUUCAAAAGCCUUUCAGCUUCCCCUCUAUAAUAGAAUAUGGAUAAUCUCUGAAGAACUAUUUUUGGUUGUGGUAACUGGUAUAUACUCUGGCUGACUGGAGAGAUGCUAGGGGACACCUGAGAGUGACUAAUUAUAAUGGAGAUAGAUGAGAGAUAAAGAGAGAUACAGAGAGAUGCUGCAAGAGGGGUGCUCUUGGGUUGCCUAUUGAUCCCCAUUGAUGGCUAAUAAAUCAAGUUAUUUCCUACCCUCUUCCUCCCUCAAUGCCACAUCUCCCAGUUUUCCACCCACUCCUUCUUGCCCCUUUCCCCCUCCCCCCUGUUGGUCAGCCACCUUUCUAUGUAACUCAAAGGUGAACUGUGAGGUUUAGAGAAGAUACUCUUGUUCUCUUUCUCAGGUAAGGAGGUUUACUGGGAAAGAUAGGACAGGAUGGGAAUUGAGGUGAGAGGGAUGAGGUUUGUCUCUAAUCUACAAGGAAGGGUUAUGAGGGUUUUGGGAAAUGUCAGUCCAGUCAUAGCUGUGACUCAGAGACAGCCAGAGAGAUGGAAGACAACUGUUAAAACUUCUUUCUUCUUUCAAUUACACAAAGCCACCAGUAAAAGUAAAUUUCUUCUCAGAUUAAUUCCAGAAGCCCUCCCAAAGGUCUCUCUCUGCUUAGAUCAGAAAAAAAAAAACCAAUCUCUUUUGGUCAGGAACCCCAGAGAAACCUUGGUCAGUAACCCCAGAGAACGAAAAUCAGUUCCCCUCACCAGCUCCAACUGCCUCUCCUGGGAACAUUCUAUUUUGGAAUGAACACCUUGAUUGACAGAUCAGGUCCCCAGCUUUGUUUCUUGCUUGUCUUGUCUUGUAAAUCCUCUCUUUCUUCAUACCUCUUCCACACUUCCCCCCUUUCUUCAGCCUCCCACUCAAUGUGAUCUAUGAGAUUUCAAUGAAAUAGUUCUUAAUCUUCUUUGUCAAACAAGGGGUUCGUUUGGGGAAGACAGGAUAAAGGUAGAGGAUAAAGUAAGAGGAGUAGGAUUUCCCUAUUAUCUACAAUGAGUGUUGGUUUGGAGGAUAUUGAGGGAAAUGGCAAUUCUGUCACAAGAAUGAAAUAGAGUCAGUCAGAGAGAUAUGUAAGGACCAUUGUCCUUUCUUCUGCCUUCUAAUCAGUCAGGUCACCUCCAACUUGAUUAACCCAAGUCCCAGAGAUACAACUAGCUUCUUUCUCCACAUCAACCAGAAGCCAAAAGCCCUUCAGCUCAGUCCACAGUUGACAUGGCUCCAACUACUUUUCCUGGUAACAUUCCAAAUGGAAUUUUCAUUUGACUAAUGACAGAUGAUCCAUCCCCAAUCUCUGUCUUGUAUGCAUGCCUCCUCCACAAUAGGGCUGAUCGAUAAAUUUUGGAACCCAUUUCUUUAGGGAAUCUAACUCCUGGGUUGUAAACUGUCUUUGUACCUUUGAAUGUAACAUACUAGCUGUACUUGAUGACAUGGUAACAUCUUUUAGUGGAUAAAUUUUCUCAGGUUCACCAGUUGACUUAGUGUCCUUGUCACUGUCAUUUCCCUGUGAUUAGCCUUUGCUUUCUUUGCCUUUCUGUCUUUCUCUUGGGGUGCACUAUCUGCCUGACCAUUUCCCUUAUCCUUAAUCUGGUCUAGCCCUUUUGCCUUCAUAAAUUUUUCAAAUAUUCUUUACCAAGGUUUCCAAGUUAGUAUCCACUACUAUUAUCUUUGCUGUCUGUUUAGGGAUCACAAAUCUGUAGAUGUUCUUCAGAUAGGUCAGUGUCUGUAUAGCAGCUUUGGAAAUGAUAUAAACCUAUGUCAUAAUCUGCCAGAGAACAGUUUCUUUUUGGAAGGGCAACUGUAGUAUGAGCAUCAUGGUGUUGCCAAGGUAUUCCACCAAAUCUACAAUCAUGGUGGUCAUUUUACUACAUAGGAUGUUAUAGAUCCAAUAGCCAGUAAUUGCUGCCAACACAACUACCCCAUAGAGCACUUGUUUAAACAGCUUGAUGUUAUUUUAGGGAUUGUAAAGUUCAAUCAGUCUGAAGUGCCAAAUUGUAAUAGAUAAUAUUGAGGGAGUAUAUUUGAUGGGUAUAUGAUAACUAAUAAAUCAUGUAGUUAUCUUCUUUUACCUACCCUCCUCCAUCUAUUCCUCCCUUUAGCUUCCCCUUCCCCUGUUCUUCUAGUUUCUAAAUCAGUCAGGGUGAGUUAAUGAUAUUUCAAAUGAAAAUACUCUCUAUAUUCUUUUAUCUUAAGUAAGGUUUUAUUUGGGAAAUACAGGAGAAGAUGGAGGAUGGAGGUAAGAGGGUUGGGGGUUUCCCUAAUUCUAUAGUUAGCCUUAGAUUAAAGGAUAAUGAAACAAAUGGUUGAUAGGUCUAGUAUUUCAGUCACUAUCACCAACAGAGCAAGUCAGAGAGCUAUAUGGACUAUUGUCCUUCUUCUGCCUUCAAAGUCACCAGGCCACCUCCAGCUUGAUUAUCCCAAGUCCAAGAGAGAAACCCAGCUUCUUCCUUCCCUAAUUCAAAGCCAACCAGGAAAUCAGUCAGGACCCUGAUUCAAAGGCAACCAGCAUCAGCCAAGACCAUAAUUCAGCCAGCAGUUGGUUUGGCUCCAAACUGCCUUUCCCGGUAACAUUCCAAAUCAGAAUCUUCAUUUGAUUGACAGUCACCACUCAGCCACUGCUUCUGUCAUUUUGCAUGCCUUAUAAUUUCUCUCUUUUCCACACUAUCUUCAUUCAGCUUGUUCUUUUUAGUAGCUAGAAUAGGUCUAUUGUAUUCAGAUACAAUAGGUCUUAAUAUUCCUUGUUCUAGCAAACUAUUUUAAUAGGUGUUAUUCCUUCUUUUGCUUCUUUACUUAAUUUGUAUUGUUGUAUCUUAGGUGGUAUUCCUUCCCUGACCUCAAUCCUGACUGGUGUCACCGACUUGAUCCUACCCACAUCAUUUUGAUGUUUUGCAAACACCCUUGUGGUAUAUAUCUUUUGGUAUUUCAUACAUAUAUGUUAAAAUUUGAAUUUUCUCUGGUUCUUCUUCUAUUUGUUCUAAAUAUAACAAUGGGUAGUGUUUUAGUGAAUUCUUAGGUAAAUGCAAGUAAAUUUUCCCAGAUCUUUCACAUUGCAAAGUUGCUUGGAUCUUACACAAAAAAUCCCAUCCUAAAAGGUUUCCUGGACAUGAAGGAAUUAAUAGGAAAGUAUGAUCUAUGAUGUGUAAUAGAGAGAUACUCUGAGGAUGUCUAUCAAUCAAUAAUGAAUGACUAAUGGAUCAAGGUUUUACCUACCCUCCUCCCUCAAUGCCUCCCAUUUCCUCCCUCUUCAGAAGCCUCAGCUUCCCCUCCCCCUUUCCCUUCAAGUCACUCAGGGUAAACUAUGAGAUUUCAGAGGAAACACUCUUUUCUCUUAAUUUCUCAAGUAAGGGGGUUUAUUUGGGGAAGACAGGACAAGGGUAGAGGAUAAGGUAAGAGGGAUAGAUUUCCAUAUUUUCUAAAAUGAAGGUUAGGAGGAUAUUGAGGAAAUGACAGUCACUAGCAGGGACAGUCAGAGAGUUUGGAGGACAAUUAUUUGUCUUCUUUCUUCUUUUAACCAGCCAGGUAACCUCAGUUAUAACUGUCAGCAAAAGCUUCAGGGUCUUCUCCAUCAGCCACAAGCAACCAAAAGUUUAGUUCUCCAGCCUCUCCCCUAGCUUCAGAAGCCAUAGGGGUCCAAUUCAGAAGCUUCUCAGCCCAUUUCAGCCUGGUUUGGCUCCAAACAUCUUUCCCAGGAACAUUCCAAAUGGAAUGUUCCUUUUGAUUGACAGGUCUUCUGUCCUCAGCUUUCUGUCUUGCAUGCAUGCCUCUUCUAUCUUUUACAGGUGAGAGGACCCAAUUUGACCUAUUGUAUUUGUCCCAUAGCUCCUACUACAAAAACCAUACCCCUUAUGUUGGUAUUCCCUGGACAUGUCUUUAGGACAGAUUUUGAAGCACCAGCAUCUAAGAGAGCUUUGUAGUUUUUCUUUUGCACUUUAAUCCAUACAUACGGUACUGGCUUUUGAGUAGCUACGGUAUUAAUUGUCAUUGAAUCACUCUGCAUUUCUUUACUACUUUCAGCUAGCUGUAUGGUUGAAUCAAUUAACUCUUCUUGAUUUAAAUCAUUUCCUAUGAGAUCUUCGUCUAAGGUUGAUUGCACUACAUCGUCUACUUCAUUGGAAAAUGAAUUCAAAUCAUAUCUAUGGUUAAUCUCAUAUAAUUUUAUUUGAUCAGACACCCCCCCCCCUUCCACUUAGAAUAUUGGUUUCAAGUAUGCUAUUUGAAUCCUUGUUUAUUCUAUCAGUUACUAAAUCUGUCAUUUCACUCAUCUGUUCAAAUUUAACUGUUAUUUCACCUCCAUUACUUUGAAUAUAAUUAUUAUUUUCAAAAGUAAUGUCAGCUUCAUUUUCAUUAAAUGUUGUAUUUCCUAACAGUCAUUGUAGGAUGGAAACUUUCAGCUUCAGGAUUCAAACUAUAUAUUUUAUUUGUAAGGAAAUCUGUGCCAUAUAGCUAUUUGAAGAAUUAGCUGAGUUUUGUGGUCUCUUGUGCAAACCUGUGAAUAUUUCCAAAUCAUUUACAUCUCCAUUAACAGUAACCUCAUUGGUAAUAGUAAACUAAUGCUUUGAUUUUCUGCUACAGUCAUUUUGCUGCAGGGAAUUAAAAUUUUGUUUCUCUGUAUCUCUCACUAACUCCUGCUUGAGUUUAUGUGACUUUUCCUGACUUUUUCUUUUAUAGAAUUCAAUCCCUGUGCCCAAUAUGCACUGAAAAAAGUUUUCCAAGAAUGUUUUGAUUUGAUUUCUACUUUUUUCAUGUGUGUUUACUAUACAGUUUUUCUCUAAGUCUCCUAUCUCAGUUGUUAUUUGAGAAAUGUCUUUAACUUCUUCAUCAAGCUGUACUUCUUGUCUCUGCCUGUCAUGUGGUUUGUUACUUGGUUUGCAUUUCUCAUCAUUCACAGAUUUCAUUUCUUGCACCCCUUUUUCACUGUUUCUUAUCUGUUUUCUCCUAAGCUUAACAACAGUCUUUCACUAUUUCCUCUAUCUUUAUGUACCAAACUAAAUACAUUAUAGGCCUGGCUUCAUAAUUCUCUUCUAACCAUGUCUGCAUAUUUGGGCUUAGUCCCAGACUUUAUAGUUUCUCUCAUUCCCUGUAAAUCUGUUGCAUGUUGAAAGAAUUUCACUGUAGGAUGCUCACAACAAGUAGAAUUUUGCUGAUUGUAUUUUAUUUGUGUGCUUUUGUUGUUCUUAACUUUAUAAUUCUUUUUCAGAAAACAGUCUUUGAUCAGGUGUCCUGUUUUGUGGCAGAAAAAACAUUUCCUAGUCUCUCUCUGCACAUUUCUUGGCUCAUAAACAGGUUUUGCAUAUGUUGUAACAUCAUUAAAAUUCUUAAUUUCCUCAAUCUCCUUGUCUUUUAAAUUUUUCUGUGAUUCUUCCAAUUUUUGGUAUAAAUCUGCAACCUAUUUACUUUGAUCUGUGUGACUGUCAAAUAUAUAUGUUGCAGCAUCUCUUAAUUCAAUUAAACUCAAUGUAUCAUAUCUAGGAAAAUAAUGUUUGAAAAAAUUUCUGAGGUGUGGUGUGCAUCCCUUCAGAAAUUGUCUCCUUACAUGGCUUACAGACUCUUCCAUGUCCCUUUCCACACUCAGUAUAGCUUCAGCUGUCUCAGAAAGGUGAUCAAUAAAGGAAGCUAGAUGAUCUCCUUUAUUUUGCACCAAUCUAUCAAAUUUUCCCCAAGCAUUUUGUUUUGAGCAACACAUUUUUAUGGCUUGGGGCAAGUCCUCCCUGCAUUUCUUUAGAUAGGUUAUGCUGAUGGGAUUAGAGAAAUCAAAGUCCUCUCUUUGCUCCUCUGUAAGCCAACUUGUCAAGGCACUUGCUGACCUAGUUUUCUCAAUAAACUGAUGAUGCUCUGGGGGCUAAAAAUUUCUGCCAAAAGAAAUUCCACAUCCUUAAAAUUGGGUUCAAAAUUCGGAAAGCAUGUUUUAGCUCCUCUUGAAUUCUAUGAGGCUUGUCAAUAAACUUUUGGAAUCUUUUCUUCAAGAAUUCUAAUUCCUGGGUAGUAAAUUUCCUGUGAACCUUUGAAUGCAACAACCAGCUGUAUUAGAUAUUUUGGAAAUGUAUUUGAGGGGAAAGAUUUUCUCAGCUUCACUAUUUGCCUUAAUGUCCUUGUUACUGUCAUUGCCCUGUGUACUGGAUUUUGCUUUCUUGGUCUUUCUGUCUUUAUCCUUAGUUGCAUUGUCUUCCCAACCAUUUCCUUUAUUCUUCAUCUGAUCUAGCCCUUUUCCCUUCAGGAAUUCUUCAAACAUGUUCUUAACUAGAGUCUCCAAGUUUGUAUCCACUACCAUGAUCUGUGCUGUUUAGGAAUCACACAUCUGUAAAUGUUUUUAAGGUAGGGCAUAGUCUGUAUUGCAGCCAUGGAAAUAAUGUAGAUCUGUGUCAGAAUUUGUCAGAGAAUGGUUUCUUUUUGAAAUGGCAUGUUAAGUAUAAACAUACUCGUGUUGCUUGUGUAUUCUACAGAAUCUACAAUCAUAUUUGUCAUUUUUCUAUAUAAGAUAUUAUAAAUCCAAUAGCCUGCAAUAGCUGCCAGUACUACUACCCCACAGAUCACUUUGCUUAAACAUCUUUGCUGUUAGGAAUUGUGAAGUUCAGUCGGUCUGGGUGACAAAUUGUAAUAAGGGACUAUUUUGAAUAGUAAUUGAUAACUAAACAUCAGGCUGUUAUCUUCUUUCUAAUUAUUUCCCUCCUCCCUCUCUAACUCCCUCCCUCCCUCUUCCUCCCUUCACCUCCCUUUUGCCUCCCCACUUUCUGGUGAUUCUCCUUCUGGUUUCUCUAAAUCAACUCAGGGGUGAGUUUAUGAUGUUUCAAAUGAAAUACUUUUUUCUCUUCUAAAAUAAAGAGUUUAAGGGGGCAGCUGGGUAGCUUAGUGGAUUGAGAACCAGACCUAGAGAGGGGAGGUCCUAGAUUCAAAUCUGGCCUCAGCCACUUCCUAGCUGGGUGACCCUGGGCAAGUCACUUGACCCCCAUUGCCUAGCCCUUACCACUCUUCUGCCUUGGAGCCAAUACACAGUAUUGACUCCAGGACAGAAGGUAAGGGUUUUUAAAAAAAAUAAAAAAAUAAAAAUAAAAUAAAGGGUUUAUUGGGAAAGACAGGAAAGGAUAAGGAAAUGGAAGGAAAGCGGAUUUUGGUGUUUCCCUAACAUUAGGAUGAGUCUUAGAUAGGAGGAUGGUGGAAUAUAGUUCAUUUGGAGAAAUGGCUGAUAGGUCUGGAAGUUCAGUCACUAUCACAACAGAGCAAGUCAGAGAGAGAUAUCUGUACUUUUGUCCUUUCAUCUGUCUUCAAAAUCAAAGACCACCUUCCUUUCUUCAGUCUCCAAAACCAAGAGAGAAAACACUUUCUUCCUUCUUUCAAGGCAAAAAAGUUCUGCCUUCAGUUGGUCUGGCUUCCAACUGCCUUUCCCGGUAACAUUCCAAAUAGAACACUCAGCUCCUCCAAACUCCUGCUACUCAAUUUCUCACUUCCACAGAAGCACAGAAACAUAUCUGCAACAUUUUGUUUCUCUUUUAUAAACUUCUCUGUCCUUGACCCCCUCAAAUGGCUACUUUUGUUUAGCAGUUCCAACUGUCAACCCUCCUUUCAGUUGCCUGAGAUGGAUUCUGACUUUUUCCUGGGGUGCCAAAAUUGUAUUAGUGGGGGACUUUGAAGAAGUUCAGCUACUUGCGGAUUGAGCUGUUGACCAAAGGAGUCAGUCUGACUAGACUAAAAUUUCUUUUUGUUUCAAUGAGUCUUUGGUACUUGGCAGUUUUUGUUUAAGUUCAUCUCUCUCCUGCUCUUUCUGCUUUUCAUAGAGGUACAUUGCUAUGUCCCUUCCUUUAGAAUUAGAGAUAUCAUAGAGAUGUCAUACUUAGGGAAGAAAUUCCUAAAGAAAUCUAAUUGCAUGUUGCAUCCCUUCAAAAACUGUCUUCUAAUAUGGGCCACUGAUUCUUGUGAGUCUUGGCUAAUUCCCAUAAUGGAUUCUAUAUUUUCUCUUAGUCUGUCAAUAUAAGUGGCAGGGUACUCAUUCUUUUCCUGUACCAUCCUGUCAAAUUUGCUCCAAACAUUUAGUCUAGAGCAAAAUGACUUUAUUGCUUGCAGGAGGUCUUCUCUGCAUCUCUUAAGAUAUGUGAAAUUAGCCGGUCUAGUGAAAUCAAAAUCCUCAUAUUGGUGUGCCCUAGGUCAAUCUGUCAAGCUCUCAUCUUGCCUUAUCUUUUCUACAAACUGUCUCUGAUCAUGGGGGCUGAAUACUUCUCCAUAAUAAGAUCAAUAUCAUCAAAAUAAGGCUCAUAAGAUUUGAAAGCCCAUUUCAGGUCUUUGAGACACUUGUAGGGCUCAGAUAAGAAUUUUGGAAAUAAUUUUUUCAGCGACUCCAAGUCUUGGGUGGUGAAAAACUUGUGAACUUUUGAGUGUAAAACUCCAGCUUCAUCAGUGAUUUUUGUCAUGUCACGAAGAGGCAGGAUUUUAUGAGCCCCUGUGACCUCAGUUGUUGUGUUUUCCUAUUUGCUAUUUUCCUUCAUAUUGUCAGAAAUCUUUUCCUUAACUGUGUUGUCAUUUGUCUUUAUCAUUUCCUAAAUCAACUUGGUCCCCAAUCUUAUCCUUAGGUGUUUCAGUGAUUUCCCUAGCAUUGCCUUUUCCUUUCUUGCCAAAUAUUCAUUACACAUUUUCUGUACCAAGUCUUCUAAUUUGCUGUCUAAUACUAGUAUCUGUGAAGAUUUCCUUGGUGAUAAAAUCCUUAGAACAGAUAUUAGGUAAGAGAGGGUCUGUAUGGUGGCCAUGAGGAUCACAUAGAUUUGAGUCACCACUUGCUAAACUAUGGAACUAACACUUGUAACAGUAUUGUAGAUUAUAUAACAAUUGGCUGGGAUGGAUUCUGGCUUUUUCCUGGGAUGCCAAAUUGUAAUAGGGAGGGGAACUUAGAAAGGGAAUGAACCACUGAACAGCUGUUUGGGGACUGAAUUCUAUGUGGCACUUCCUCUUUCUUUCACUGAAAUGGGUUAUUAUCAAUGGAGUCAGGCAGUCUAGACUACAGGGUAAGUCUGUUCUCCCACAGCCUCCUUCUGAACUGAUAGAUUGAAAUUCCCCUCCUACUACAUAAACUCUGAAUCAAACUCUGGUAUAACUCAAGGUGUCUAAUUUAUUGGAGUAUGGGGUUUUUGAAAGAAGAGGAAAGGAAGAGACAGAGGGAAGAGGAAAGUCCCUAAUAUAACUCUUGAGGAUUUGAUCAAGGAAAAUUAUUCAGGGUUAAGUUCUAGGUUCUGAAAUAGAAUAAUAAAACUGACUGAAACUGUUUCUUCUUGAAAUAGUGAAUGUAAACUGAGGGGAAUCUGUUUCCCUUUAUAAUAACUGCUGUUCUCUGGCUGGCUGUGACUAGAGGGCUGCUACAGGAACCUAAGGCUGCUUAUUUGUAAUGGAGGUAGAACAAAGAAAUGCUGAGGGAUGCCACACAGGGAUACUGGUACACAAGGGACUGCUCUGGGGUUUGCUCUGGGGUUCUGCCUAUUGAUCCCUACUGAUGGCUGAUGGAUCAAUUUAUUUCCUAACCUCCUUCCUCCCUCACUUCCUCCCUUAACCAACCCUCUCCCUUUUGCCUCCCUCACCUCCCAAAUCUUCUUGAAGCCUUUGCUUCUUCCCUCCCUCCUGAGUGAACUAUAAAGAUACUCUAGUUGCUUUCUCAGUCAAGAGAUUUAUUGGGAUAACAGGAUGGGAAACUGAGGUAAGAGGGAUAAGGAUUUCCCUAAACUCUGGGGAUAAUUUUAGAAAGGUUUGAGGAAGUAUUCCAGUCACAAACUUGACUCUGAGACACAGAUAGGGAGAUGGAGGACAACAGCACUUCAAAAUCUUCUUUCUUCUUCUUCUUCACAAAUCAGCCAGGUCUCUCAGCUUCAACCCCAGAGAAAAACAAAGUUCAAAGUCUCUAUGUUUCUCCUGACCAGCUCAACUCUCAAAUAGACCACCAACUCAAAAGCCAAGUUCCUUUUUCUUAUCAGCUUCAACUACCCAGAGUCAGAGAGGCAGAGUCAAAGCCCCCAAAGCCAAGUUUCUCUUCUCAGUAUGGCCAGCAAACCCCCAACUGUCACUCCUGGGAACAUUCUGUUGGAAUCUUCUUUUGAUUGACAGCUAGAGCUAGGUCUCCAGCAUUGGUUCUUGCAAGUUCUCUCUCUCCCCGUGCCUCUACUACAAUUCCCCUAAGGGAAAAAGAGUCUUUAUCCCAAAAUUAGUUUCAGUAGAUAACUGAGAUCUUCAUUCAAUUCAAGCAAAAGGAUUUUGAGAUUGCUACUUCUCCCACCCAGCUCCACAGAGUCCUAGAUUUUCUCUCUGGCUACACCUGCUUUUGAACCUUGAUGGAACUCUCCCAACCCCUAUAGGUCUUGUGAAGUUUCCAUUUGCUCUUCUUCUAAAGCAUCUUUUCAAACUUCAGAUUUCUCUUUGCUCUUGGUCAUCCACUUAUUCACAAGGGUAAGUGAAAUUUUCCCUUCAGCCUCCUUCUUGAAGUAAUGUUUUUGAAGUUCCCUCUGUGAAGGUACUAGCAUUCUUACCCUGGUCGCCCUUCACAACCUCUCUAUAUUUAGGCCUAGUUCCAGCAUUUACCCAAGACUGCAUAGUAUUUAAAUCUGGUGCUUGUUGUCCCUGGCAACAGGCAUUUUAACAUUGAUUAGUAUACCUAUUUUGAUUGUUGCUAUUAUUAGUAUUCCACCUAUUAUUAUUGUAAUUAUUGUUACUACUCCAGUUAUUGUUUCUAUUAUACCCAUUAUUUAAUUGUCUUCUAACCUGGUUCCUAAAUCUGCAUUCCUUGUACAGGUGUCCAAUACGAUCACAUAGGAAACAGCGCCUAGGGCCUGAUCUUCUCUCAUUUGGCUUAUAAUUAUUAUUAUACCUUGGCUAUAUAGAUAUCAAUGCAGCUACAGCUUUUAUUUCUUUAAUUUCACUGUCUCUGGCCUUCAUUUCAGCUUCCUUCAAUUUCUGUUUUAAGUCCUCAACAAUAGUAUCUCUCUCAUCAUUUUUAUCCUCCAAGUCAGUAGUCAAAUAUGUGAUCUUUCUCGGUAAUUCCUGGAGGUCUAACUCUUCCCAGUCGGGGUAAUUUGUUUUAAAAAAUUGUCUGAUCUUUGGGACAACAUUUUUUACAAAGACCUUCUUAAUAUGUGCAAUCAAGUUUCCUUCCAAUGGAUCCAUUCCCAAUAAAGUUUCGACUGCCUUGGUUAUUCUUUUAAGGAAACCCGCAGGAGCUUCAGAGACCUUCUCUUUUAGAGCCUCAAAUUUUGACCAUAAAUUGGACCUUUUGGUAUACCUUCCCAUUACCUCCUUGAUUGCAUCUCUUGCAUCUACUAAUGUAUCAUAAACCCCCUCAUCAGAUGUAUCUAACUUUAAGUCCUCUGGCCAAGAUUGCAAUAAAGGAUAUAUUCUUGUCUCCUUGUAUACAUUUGGUUCUUUCUCUCUUUGUCAAGUCCUCUUUCAUCAGUAAGGCAAAACCAUUGAAGUCAGGAUAGUACAAAUCAAUUGCCCUAUGCAUUUCUUUAAUUACCUUAUUCAGUUCAUCAUUGAAACUUGGAGUCCUUCUCUUAAUGGAUUCAAGGUCUGCUGGGGAAAAUCUCUUAUGCAUCUUUACUUUAUGGACUUCAUUUUGUUUUACCACUGGCAUAUCUCUAAGUGGGCAUAAAGAAAUUAUUCCUGCUGCUUCCUCUUUUUCUAGCCUAUUUAAGUGUUUCCCAUUAGUGUUUAAUCUGUUAUCAUGUGCAAAGCCUUGAUUCAUAUUCAUGUUUAUAAAGUGCUUGAGUGUAUCAAGUUGAGUUUUCAUUUGUAUAACCAUCAUCUUCAUGUCAACCCUUCUGAACCAGGUCACCAGAUCUUUUAGAUGCUUAACACAAAGGCAUACAGAGGCACAAGACUUAUAAACAAUACAGCCACAGAUUAUAGCCAGGGGUACAUACACCAUAAUGUCACAGAACUUUAAAUUCAUUACUGGUUUCAAACAAUCCAUCAUAAAAAUAGAAUGACAGUAACUAGGGAAUGCUACAAAUAUAAAAUAUGGAAUAUGCAGUAAAUAAUGGAAGAACAUUAACAGCAUAUUGGUAAACAUGUCUACUGAUAUGCCAGCAUCCAUUGUAAUAUUAUUGUUACAAUGUAACUUGUACAUAUACCAAAACAAACAAAAAUAAAUUUCAAAAAUUCAAAACAGUUUUUUUUUGAAGAUGACUGCUCCAAGAUGACUUCUGGGGUCUGUGGUGCAGUUUCAGUAACCCCUUAAGCAAGUCAACCCUUAGAAUUCUAUGUAACCCCCUAAGCUUCUAGCUAGCUAAAUACACAGUAGAAUAGUGCCUUAUACUUAAAAAAAAAAACAA
This is a non-coding RNA of Monodelphis domestica (gray short-tailed opossum), 65720 nucleotides long. NCBI's taxonomy places the organism in Eukaryota, Metazoa, Chordata, Mammalia, Didelphimorphia, Didelphidae. The record is from RefSeq and is a predicted model, not a curated record.